ACGGUCGCUGCCCACAGUUUGAAGACGAGGUCGCACAUAUCGUCUGUACUACUGCAUGGUUUUCCUACCCCGCAAGUAAAACCACCCGUUACUCUACUGUUUAAGAUUUGCGAUAUCUCCUAGAGACUUAUGCUCUAUAUUUUGUUGUGCCCACGUUGUUGUACGCGUGUUAUUUCCAUCCGUGUAAAUGGUUGGCAAGCAGUGCGAGAGCUACUGCUGUGUUUGAUGACUCCUAUGUAUUUCGCCACUCUUGUCCUGAACUGGUCGUUCGUCGUAAAUGUGAAGGUUGCAAGACUAUUAUUUACCUGACGAACUCUGCUUCGGCACACCCCCUCCUAGAAAAGUCUACAGAUUUCGACGCAGAUUAGAAUUUACCCCUUUGAUAAAAAAAGGGUGACAUGGUCUUUUGUACCCAAAUCAAUCUAUUCAAUACGUUUGAUCUGCAGGCUAACAUGGCGGUGGUCUUUUUAAGUUAACUUUAAGAUCUGUAUAAACUUUUUAAGGGGGUGCAACGAAGGGAAGCAAAACUCCUGGCUUGUUCCAAAGUUUUUGCUGUUCCAAUUUGUUAUACUGUUUGCGGAUCAGCGGGCUGCUGCUUUGUUAUCCAUUUCUUCUGAAACAUAGGCAACAAUUGCAUGGUGAAACAUCUCAUCUAUUCUUUGCCAGCAGCUGUGUGGCUGUUGCCGGGUGGGGACAUGUACUACUGCACACGCCAAAAUUAUCUUUUGAAGCCGUUCAUCAUGGUUGUUCCAUAGAGUAGUAGUAGUGGUGCUAUGGCCUAAAAGGCUUCCUAACACCAUCAUUCAGGUAGUAUAAAAUGCGACGGCUAUGGGGGUUAAUGAUGGCUUAUCAUCCCUUAGAAUCAGGCUUUCCAUUGCCGGCCAGUAUCUUCUUCCUUCCCACCUACAGUACGUAGUAGAAAGUAGAAACGAUGCUCCACUUUGGCCUCCUUUCCUCUUGUUUCCUAUUCCUCCUUUCCCCUUGCAUAUCCGCUGGUUGGUUGGUGUGCAUGUGAAGCAGCGGCGGGAUCAGGAUCGAACACUUCAGGACGCUGGGCCCUGUCCUAGUUUAUCCCAGAAGACGAAUGAAUCAGCGUUGGCAUGCACUUGCUUGCCUGUGCCUCGUGGUGUUUUCCAGGACAAGUGUGGAGUACUACCACUGUAAACUAAUAUAAGAGCGCGUUUAGAUAACUAAAGUAGUAAUUUUUUUGAUAAAAGAUGGAUUUUAUUAACUCAAAAUGAAGCAUCAAGUAGAUAUAAAGCAUGAUGAGCACACAUCCGGCCUUUGCAUAGCUAGGAUGCACAUAGCCAACACCAACACACGCGCACAAAAAACACACGCUGAGAAAUAGCAAAAUCAUACAAGACCAAAGCUAUGCCUAAGCGAAAAAAGCCAAAGCGAUCAGAACAACGAUCGACAAACUACGACAAUGAUCAUAUCCGCAUCAUCCAUCUUUUGACACCACAAGGACAAAAAAGUUCUUCAACAGCAACGCCUUCAGAAAGGAAAUGACGCACCAACGUUGCCGUCGCCGGAUCCAACAAUGAGAGGCCAGAAUCUAGGUUUUCAUCAUGAAAAACAAGUCUGAGCAUAUAUGAGCAAUGCCUUCAACAAGGUAACGAUGCAAAAACGUCGUCAUUGCCAGGAAUAACCAACUUAGGUCAAACCUAGGGUUUUCACCCCAAAACUCAAGACUGGAUACUCGAGAAGCACCACCAGAUCUAAGUCAAUCAUGUGUGUUGCCAUCACUUUUCCACGAUCCCAGCAGCUACAUGCGCUGGGCUUAAAAUCCCGUUGACGCCGCCACUGCACAACCAUAUCUUUUGCGUCAAGUCACCGUCCAUAGAUUGCAUCUCAUCGCCAAAGGCAGACUGGUCGGAGCGAGAGCCGCCAAACCCCGUAAAGGGAGCUUUUGGCUGCAUCCCGCCAGCUCGCCGGUUCGAGUCACCGGCGGCAACCAUCAGAUCCAAAGAGAUAAACACUAACAAAGAUCAUCAGGUGGCCACGACAAUCCGCAGGGCACGGAUGCCCAUAACCAAGUGGAUCGCCACCGGAACCCCCAGCUGCCACAAAGCGCCAAGGCUAGCACGCGCGAGAGAGCGCAGCCGCAAGGAUGGUACCACCAGAACUUCAUGCAGGCCAACGCAGCAUGCCAGAUCCAUAACAGGGACGCCAUGAUCUGCAGUCAUACAACGCGCCGCCGGUCCUCCUCAUGCGCACCAAGCAGAUACAGCCCAUGGUUACUGCAACAAGAUGGAAUGCUGAUGCAUGGAUCACGCUAACACCCCACACGCGCAGGCUUCCAGAUUUGUUUAUCCGCCACUGUAGCUACGUCACGACCACUAGCCUGCGACAACCACCACACAGGAGCAGGGGCAUCACGAGGACUAGAAAGAACGGAGGGGAGUGGGCAGGAGUGGCCCCGCGGCCGCCACCGGCCAGCCGACGGCCGCCGGCGACGGCAGCAAGGGUAGGGAAGAGGAGGCGGCGCCUAGGGUUAGGGCCGGCGACUCUCUGGUGGACUUAAGUCAUUUCAAGCGUGUGAUUUAAACGCUUUUAUAUUAGUUUACGGGGAGGAGUACGCGAUUCUACUUUGAUGCUGAUCAGGCUGGAAACCAGUUAACUAACGAAAAAUCGGUCAAAAACCGCCACGACCUGCUGAGCAGCAGGGACAAGAUACCCCACAUGCACCACUGUAAAGAAAGGCUCAUCGAGGUAGCACGUUGACGUCAUCAUCGUUGAUUCUCCUUGAGAACCAUCAUCGUCUUCCCUUCUCUCUGAGGGAGCGAGCGACUCCGCCUUCCCAGCAGACGACCACCGACGCAACCCAAUCCGUAGAGGAAGUGCGAAGCCACAUGGAGAUCAAUGCCAAUCACUCAGCCACCCGCGACAGGGGUGACACAAUUCCGAUUUUGACGAAGUGCUGCGAAGGAGAACUAUGCAGGGCUGAUGCUGCGGAAAAUCAGAAAUCACUGAACAAAUCACGUACCACUUGUCAUCUUGCCACCCGGACCCGUUAUCGUAGCUAUGACUUUGUAGUCGAGAAGGACCUAAGGAUACACUAGAGAAGAGACGACUACCAUAAUCAUGUCGUGACCGUGUCAUCUCUCUUCCCAUCGUCGUUGCCACAUAAGCCAUGACGCCUUCACCAUCAUCUUCCACCGGCCGCCGCCACGACCACCCUCAUCAUCCUCACCACCCUGAGUCCCUGACGCACCACUCUCCCGCGGUCCUCCUCGUUCCCACUGGCUGGAUAAAGCUAAAAAAUGAUGCCCGUGAGAGGGGAACGACAUCAAAAUGUCGCCUCCGUCCGAUCAUCUUGUAUUUGGCUUCUCUCGGGUUGUCUCAGGCGGAGAUAGGCAGAGCAACUCAUCGACGCCGGAAGUUACGACAUUGAUAUAUGUCUGUCGCCGUCGCUGGCUGCGGCCACGGCCGUAGACAAAAAUGAGACUUUCCCCGAGAGUGUCCUCAGCUCAGGCUGGUUAUAGUGGGGAGUAACUUAGACUAGUAUCAUAUGCAUGACAGUAGUCUAAGUUACUACCUUCAUAGUGCAAAGUAACAUAAUACUAGUGUCAUAUGUGGCCUCAUUUAAUAGCUUGUAGACUCAUGUUGUCUUGAAAAGCGCUAUGUUACAGUAACAUAUUAUGUUACUACUUUUCAUUAACUACUUGCAACAUAAGCAAAAAAUUCUCGAGAUGCGUUAUGUUACUACCUAAAUUACUCCCACUAUGACUAGCCUCAAAGAAUCCGUUGAGCCAGCACAACCACUUGUCGCAUCUUCUCCAGAUCCAUGGCAUCUCUGGGCCGGCAAAUGCAAGCAAGCCGACCUAGCUCAGUGGUAGAGCGCGUGGCUUUUAACCACGUGGCCGUGGGUUCGAUCCCCACGGUCGGCGUUAACUAUGGUUUUUUUAAACCCUUUUAACCCCGAACACUUCUCAGCAAAUCAGCGUAUCUCCCUCCGCACUUGCUUCCCUGUGCCUUUCUGCUGUUUCCAGCAGAUACUUCAAUAUCAUUUACUGAAUCUUAUUUCAUGACAAGUGGCAACCACGCCGACCUAGCUCAGUGGUAGAGCGCGUGGCUUUUAACCACGUGGCCGUGGGUUCGAUCCCCACGGUCGGCGACUUGUAAUUUUUUUGAUUUUUUCUUUAUUUCGACCUGUUCAUUUUUGUUCAGGCAGGACCACUGCCUAGUAGGAUAUUUUGUUCAUUUUGGAAUCCUUUGGUGAAAGAUCCCCACGGUCGGCGAUAUUUUCUAACUUUCCCGACUUGUUAAUUUUUGUUCGGGUAGACUGCCUAGUAUGAUGUGGAAUCCUUUGGCGUGAAAGGUCCCUUUGUUCCUCCGUGGUCCUGCCCUGCCACUGUACGAGUAUGCGCUAGCUAGCAUUACUACCAUCCUAGAUCAACCUUUAAUCUUUUCGUGCCUGAUAAAGCUAGCUUAGUUUACUAGUAACGCAAUGCCAGCGAAAUGCCGUGUUCCUUUUGUUACGCCACCAUCCAUUAAGAUUUCUUGCACCGCAUCUUACAUAAUACAGUACUUACUACAUGGCCAUGUCUGUAAUCACCGAGCUCAUGCUCUGCAAAUGGUUAUCCCGAUAUGACGUGGUACGAAGUGGGAUCGAUCACCGGACCGGACGGACGCAUUUGACAUUUGCUUCGAGUCCGUCACCGCGAUUGACGCCUGUAAAAUUUGUCCACCGCGCGCAUGCGCUCUGAACCAGUCUGAACCCAGAGGCAGGAGGUGGUGCGGCAGUAACUGCCCCCUGCUCCGACGCAGCGUCAGAGCCCAGGUGCCGCGCUGUCGCCUCCAGCACGAGCGCGGGAGGGCCGAGGGCCAGGGCAUUGCCAUUGCCUGUCUCGCCAUGAGUUGCUUUUCGCGGGCACAGUAGUAGUACCGGGGGGUGUAGUCGUGGUGGUGUAGACGUCGUACCCUUGUCUCGGUUUCCGGCGACCCUGCGGUUUGCUUUGCUCGCGCCGUUAGUACCGUGCGGCAUCGUGCGUGGUUCGGGGACCCAGGAUCUCUCGCGGUAUUACGGGGGUUUACUGUCAGUCAGGAUUGUCAUUCUGGGAAAUCAGAUUAUCUUCCAGGGCGCUGUAUGCAAAGCUGCGAGCAGAAUGCGCUUAUUGUCAGUUAUUAACCAGUUAACCUGGAUAUCACAUUGACAGCAGCACCGUACACUUGGGGCACCUUCUCAUUCUACUAGCAAAAGACAGAUCGGCAACAUACAACUUUAUAUGCGACAAAUUCAAGUCCAAGCUCACUGCUUACAAAGCCAACAUGCUCUCUCGUGCAGCAAGAUCAAUUCUUAUUAAAUACUCCCUCCAUCCCAAAAAAAAUUAAUACAAAGUUGAGUCAUUUAUUUUGGGACGAAGAGAGUAUGUCUUUUCCUCAAUCCCUGUCUACCAUAUGUCAAAUAUCCUCUUUUCAAAGUUCUUACCAAAACUCAUAGCUACCAUUAGAAACUUUUGGUGGACAGGUGUGAAAAAAAAGAACCAUCUACAAAGAUACUAUGAUUAAGGGCAUGGGCAAACAUUUGCAUAGAAAAAAGGAUUGGUGGUUUAAGUGUUAGGACCUUACGUGCUAUUAACCAGGGUCUAAUUCUUUCGAUGGCCUAGAGAUUAGCAAAGGAACCCAGAGUCAUCUUGCUCUCAUUCUCAAAUCAAAGUACCACAACAACACAUCCAUUUGAAGGACGAAGCAAAACAUAUCAAAAUCUGCCACCCACUAAGCAAUUCUCAAGGUAAGACCACUGUUAAUAUCAACCUCUUUUUACCAAAUUGUUGAUGGCAGUAGCUCCAUUUGGAGUUCACUGUGGUUCUCUCAAUGUCAAACUAUUUAUGAUAAUUUGACCAUUCAACAACCUCCUUAUAUUUACCUGGCUAUAGUUAAUGACCUUUGGUUCUCAAUCAGAAAACUUGAAAUGUUCAACUUGUCAACUCUUUGUUUACUUCUCAAUCUGCUAACGUUAUACUGCAAACCCCUAUCAUUAAUGCUCGUGGACGUUCUAGUUUGGAAAUUAAGACUGCAGGUGGUUUCUCUUAAAAAAGUACAUAUUAACACUGCUUUAAUAAUCUAACACUAUCGGCAAACUAGAGGCCGAAAUCUGGAGGCACUCAUGGCACCAAUGGUCCAAACAUUUGUCUGGAGGCUUCUUCGUCGAGCUAUUCCAACUGGUAAGAAUGCAAUAGGUUUUCCAACCAUAUUAGUGAAAAUUGUGCAAGAUGUGGCAACAUAGAGGAUGAAAUGCACAUGCUUUUCUUUGCCCUUUCUCAAAAGCUUCUUAGGUUUCCUCUCCUUGGUAUAUUAAAACUGAGGUACUUGCUGAAAGUAACCAUUCAACUCCACAAAUAUUAAAGGCUUUGCUAGUUUUUGCUCAUCCUCAUAUUAAUAUAACCAGUCUAUACACUUUCUUGUGGUGCCUUUGGAAGGUAAGAAAUGAUACUUUGUUUGGUAGAAAGUUUUGCAAGCCCUCGCAUGUAUAUCCGACGGCUAAUGCGAUCACGCAAGGCUCAAAGCUAGAAGAGAUGAUGGCAUCCCAGGAUCAGCACGACACAACCCCUAAUGUUCAACAGCUAAUAACCCAGCAAGAACCACCCUUGGUUACGUCUCCAGGAAUUUCCUGUGAUGCGGCCUGGAAAAAUGAAGAAAAAAUGCAAUCAUCUCCUGCAGGCAUUGGUGUUAUUAUCCAACUUGAAGACAAUGAACAUUGCCAGUGGCUGCAUGUUUCGGCUCUUUCUCCUCAGGUGUCAUCCCCUCUCUAGGCCGAAGCAUAUGGACUUCUCCAAGCCAAGAAGCUAGCAGAUACUCUUCACAUCCACGAUCCACACUACUACGCAAAUUGUUCUGCUCUAGCGUCGGCAGCAACUACGAAUUCCAUCUGUUGGGGAACGUAGUAUUUCAAAAUUUUUACCUACGAUCACGCAAGAUCUAUCUAGGAGAAGAAUAGCAACGAGCAGGGAGAGUGUGGUCACGUACCCUCGUAGACCAAAAGCAUUUAGUAACCUGGUUGAUGUAGUCGAACGUCUUAGCGAUCCAACCGAUCAAGUACCUAAUGCACGGCACCUCCGCGAUCUGCACACGUUCAGCUCGGUGACGUCCCUCGAGCUCUAGAUCCAGUUGAGGCCGAGGGAGAGUUUCGUCAACACGACGGCGUGGUGACGGUGAUGAUGAAGUUACCAACGCAGUGCUUCGCCUAAGCACUAUAGCAAUAUUACCGAGGUGGAAAUCUGUGGAGGGGAGCACCGCACACGGCUAAGAAAUCAACUUGUGUGUCUAUGGGGUGCCCCCUCCCCCGUAUAUAAAGGAGUGGAGGAGGGGGCCGGCCGGGCUCAUGGGGUGCGCCCCAAGGGGGAAUCCUACUCCUACUAGGAGUAGGUUCCCCCCCUUUCGUAGUCCAACUAGGAGGGGAAGGAAAGGGAAGAGGGAGAGAAGGAAAGGGGACGGGGGGCGGCCCCCCUCCCAAUUCGGAUUGGGCUUGGGGGGUCCGCCCCUCCACUUGGCCGCCUCCUCCUCUCUUUCACUAAAACCCAUGAAGGCCCAUUAACCCNNNNNNNNNNNNNNNNNNNNNNNNNNNNNNNNNNNNNNNNNNNNNNNNNNNNNNNNNNNNNNNNNNNNNNNNNNNNNNNNNNNNNNNNNNNNNNNNNNNNNNNNNNNNNNNNNNNNNNNNNNNNNNNNNNNNNNNNNNNNNNNNNNNNNNNNNNNNNNNNNNNNNNNNNNNNNNNNNNNNNNNNNNNNNNNNNNNNNNNNNNNNNNNNNNNNNNNNNNNNNNNNNNNNNNNNNNNNNNNNNNNNNNNNNNNNNNNNNNNNNNNNNNNNNNNNNNNNNNNNNNNNNNNNNNAGACUCAUCGUCAUGUCCGUGAUCACAUCCGGGACUCCGAACAACCUUCGGUACAUCAAAUCACAUAACUCACAAUACAUAUCGUCAUUGAACAUUAAGCGUGCGGACCCUACGGGUUCGAGAAGUAUGUAGACAUGACGAGACUCAUCUCCGGUCACCAAUAGCGGAACCUGGAUGCUCAUAUUGAUUCCUACAUAUUCUAUGAAGAUCUUUAUCGGUCAAACCGCAUAACAGCAUACGUUGUUCCCUUUGUCAUCGCUAUGUUACUUGCCCGAGAUUCGAUCGUCGGUAUGAUCAUACCUAGUUCAAUCUCGUUACCGGCAAGUCUCUUUACUCGUUCCGUAAUGCAUCAUCCCGCAACUAACUCAUUAGUUACAUUGCUUGCAAGGCUUAUAGUGAUGUGCAUUACUGAGAGGGCCCAGAGAUACCUCUCCGAGAAUCGGAGUGACAAAUCCUAAUCUCAAUCUAUGCCAACUCAACAAACACCAUCGGAGACACCUGUAGAGCAUCUUUAUAAUCACCCAGUUACGUUGUACGUUUGAUAGCACACUAAGUGUUCCUACGGUAUUUGGGAGUUGCAUAAUCUCAUUAGUCAUAGGAACAUGUAUAAGUCAAGAAGAAAGCAAUAGCAAUAAACUAAACGAUCAUAAUACUAAGCUAAUGGAUGGGUCAUGCCAAUCACAUCAUUCUCUAAUGAUGUGACUCCGUUCAUCAAAUGACAACUCAUGUCUAUGGCUAGGAAACUUUAACCAUAUUUGAUUAACGAGCUAGUUAAGUAGAGGCAUACUAGUGACACUCUGUUUGUGUAUGUAUUCACACAUGUACUAAGUUUCCGGUUAAUACAAUUAUAGCAUGAAUAAUAAACAUUUAUCAUGAUAUAAGAAAAUAUAAAUAACAACUUUAUUAUGGCCUCUGGGACAUAUUUCCUUCACCAUCUUCAAAGACGUAGGACAUUGGAACAUAAUGCCCAUUCUUGGGACGUGGAGUAUUUGCUCCCGAGCUCAAAUGCUCCUUGAUAAACAGUAAAAUUGGAAAAAAGAGAGUAAAACAAUUCAAAAUUCUGCAUUUUUUGUGAUAAACUUUAGCAAAUGUUUUGUAUGCUUGUAAUAUUUCAGCACGAAAUAACAUUCUUGGAAGUUGUGGAAAAGAACAAAAUGGUUGUUCCAAAAAUGCUAGUUUUCAAAGCAUUUUAGAGUGUUGAUUUUUUGCCACGCCUUCCACGAAUGUCAUUUCGUGCUGAAAUUUUGCAAGCAUACAAAACAUAUGUAGAAAUUUACCACAAAAAAUUUCAGAAUUUUUUACUUCUUUACUAUUUUUGUCGAUUUUACUGUUCAUUAUGGAGCAUUUGAGCCCGGGAUCGGAAAAGGACUUUCACCAUUCUUACUAGUAUAUAGGCGUCCCCAUCUUUUCUUAGCAGCAGGGUGGCGCACAUCAAUAGGUGUUUUAACGUAAAAGCACAUCAUCAAUCAAAGUUAGUGAUCAAAAUUCACAACAUGCCUACAUCUUUUAGUCGUCUCUCUUCAGAAGCAAGUCCUUGUAUUGUGAGGGAUGUUAUCACCAUGUCAAGUGUGAUGCCUUUCACACUACUCUUUGUAAAGUACCGUUAAUGCAAUAAAAUACUUUCUGUGCUCCAAUAAAAACCGGAUAUAGCGGCCUAGACUAGAAACGGCGAUAUGCGGAUGCUGUAGAGCACACACUCAAGGUGUAUCCUCCGAAUCUUCAGUUCUUCACAGCGGAACUUGCCAGCAAAUGCAACCACCGCUGACCUCCAUGCAAGGCGCGAACUUCUCAAAAUUUCAAAAUUGUUCUUGAUUUAAAAAUUAUUCAUACUUAAAAAAUGAUUCUAUUUAAAAUAAUGUUCUCAAUAUUUUCAAAAAUGUUUGCAAUUUUGGAACUAGUUCCAAAAUUUUAAAAUGGGCACAUUUUAAAUUUCGCAAGUUCUAAAAAUGUUCACAGAGUUUAAAAAAUAGUUCGCUUUCUAAGAGACUUACUUUUGAGUUUUGUCUUAAAGAUAAACAAAAAAACCAACGAAGAAACGACACAGUGACCGAGUCUCGACAGUAAUCGAGUCCUUACAACAAGUAAGUAAUAACUACAGUGCCAUGGAAAUGGGCCAGCCCUGUUGUGCGUCAAAUAUUCGGCUAUUCGCACCACGACAGCUAUAUCUCGCUUAUAGCGAGAAUAGCUCUCGCCUAGCUGAAGGUUUUCCCAUCUCAACUGUUUCUGGGCCGGCCCAUUUUUGUUCUUUUUCGUUCGCUCUUUCUUGUUUACUCGAUCGGUCGCAUGUCCUCCGAUGGUUCUCGUUCAGUUUUCAUUUUUUUUCCAAUUUAUUUUUAUUUGUUCUUUUAGUUUUCUUUGUUCUCAAGGAUUUCUUCGGUUUUUUUGUUUUCCAUUGGGUUUCUCUGUGUUUUCUUGGUUUUCUCGGUUUUCAUAGGUAUUCUGUUGUUUCUUUCUUUUUCAUACGAUUUCUUUGGUUCAUUUUAUCCUUCUCAGUUUUCACUGAUUUUAUUUUCAUUCUUUCUUUCAAUGCUUCUGUUUUUCCCUUUUUUGGUUUCAUAUUGUUUUCUUUUUCGUGUUUCCAUUCUUUUUGCACUUGUUCCUUUGAUUUUUGUUUUUUACUUUGUCUCCUUUGUUUCUUUUGCUUACAGUGUUCUUUGUUUAUUUUUGUUUUCAUUCUUCAUUUUUCAUAUUCGUCAAUAACAUUUUUCUAAUACACGUUCAACAUUUUUGAAUAGAAAUUUAACAUAUUUUAUAAUACGUGGUCGAUUUUUUUUCUAUCCACAUUUUAAACAUUUUCUAAGUGCUUAAUAAAAACAAAUAAUACAUGGUCAGCAUAUUCUCUAUUCACAUUUUAAAUUUUUUAAAUGCUUGACUAAAUUUUUUAAAUACAACAUUAAAAUUUUUCCAGACAAGGUCAACAUUUUUCUACAUAUCUAACAUUUUUCAAAUGUUUAUUUAAUAAUUUUCAAACACUUAUUUAACAUAUGCUUUUCAAAUGCUUGAUUACCAUUUUUAAAUACAUGAUCACAUUUUUUCAGACAUAUUGGAUAUUUUUUCGUACACAUUUUACAAUAUACAUGAGAAACGUUUUCUUUAUAGUUUAUACACAUUUAAUAUUUUCCAAAUGCUUGGUUAACAUUUUUUGACUACAUGGUCAACAUUUUUNNNNNNNNNNNNNNNNNNNNNNNNNNNNNNNNNNNNNNNNNNNNNNNNNNNNNNNNNNNNNNNNNNNNNNNNNNNNNNNNNNNNNNNNNNNNNNNNNNNNNNNNNNNNNNNNNNNNNNNNNNNNNNNNNNNNNNNNNNNNNNNNNNNNNNNNNNNNNNNNNNNNNNNNNNNNNNNNNNNNNNNNNNNNNNNNNNNNNNNNNNNNNNNNNNNNNNNNNNNNNNNNNNNNNNNNNNNNNNNNNNNNNNNNNNNNNNNUUUAAAUACAAGCUUGGCAUUUUUAAAUUACUUGGUCGACAUUUGUUCUCUGCACAUUUAAAGUUUUCAAAUGCUUGUUUAUUUUUUCCAAUAAUUGUUUAGUAUUUUUUCAAAUGCUUGAUUAACAUUUUUUAAUACAUGAUCAACUGUUUUCACACAUACUGUAUAUUUUUGUAUAUAUUAUAUAUAUAUAUUAUAAACAUGAGAAAUAUUUUAUUUAUACACAUUUAAUAAUUUUCAAUUAUUUGGUUGAUAUUUUUCAGAUGUUUUUAUGUAAAGAUCUUUUCUUAAUAUAUUUAUUUAAAGUAUUUGGAACUGUAAUAAAAAUUAAAGAAAAGGAAAAGAGAUGAACAUAAAUUAAAAAACGAGACUGUGGUCUCCUGCGCGCCUGGACUGCCGCAUUCAGUGAGAAGCCUGACGCAAGAGCACGCUAGGUCUUGUAGUAAGCAAGACAUAGCGGUGCCCUAUUCGCACAGUGAAGGGAGCGAGUAGAGUGGGCCAGCGUUUUAAUUGGCUAGCGUAGAUUCUGUUUUGGGAAUCUUUCAGAAGGUUCUGAUCCUGUUCUUUUUAGUUACCCCUAAAAAUGUUCUUGUUUGUGUCUUUCUUUGUCAGGUUUUAUAGUUUUCAUAUAUUAUUUUCAGGUUUUGUUUUAUUUUCUGAAAAUGCUUGUAAUCUUAUAAAAUAUUUAUGGUUUGUAUUUUUUAAUAAAAAUUUCCAAAAUAUAUUUGAAAUCAAGAAAUGUUUUCAAAGUUUAAGAAAUUGUUGCAAAAAAUUUAAACAUAUUCACAAAAUGUUUAAAAAUUUCACCCUUUUAAAAAGUUAUAUAUUUGAGUUUGCUAAAAACCGAAUGACCCCUCCCCCCCCACUAGAAAUCGGAAAAGCUAAAUGAAAACAAGAGAGAAACCAAAGAAAAGAGGGGGUAAAGUCAUAUUGUUGUACCCCUCACGCGGGGGAAGAAAACAACACGUAAGAGCGAACCGGGCCUGUGGCCUAUUAACUGCGCCAUGUGCACCACGCGCCCUAGUUGAUGCAAAAUGCAUCAUAUAGGGGCCAUUGGUCUAGCUUGAGAAGGAUGCAUUUUUAACCUAAAGUCUAGCAUUGGCACGUAGGGCCUUUUGUUUUUUCUAGGAAUUUGGUUGAGUAUAAUUGUGCAUUUUUCAGACAACGACUGUUUGAUUUUUAUAGGACUAAAUGAUACACGGUAUUUUUUUCACUCUAUUUCAUAAAAAAUAGUACCCACCAAAAUCUCUUGGAAAGAAUCCUUCAUAUUUUUUCCGCUGGUAGUCACGCUGGGUGGGUCCUACUCGGGAGCUGUUGGAAAAAACUAAAACCUAAAAAACCAAUGUUAGGUGGACCUUCUUACAUACUUAAUUAACAGUUAAAAUAAUUAUAUAGCACACCAUAGUCCAUGAAAUUAAUUGUAUCAUGAUGUAGGACCCUUCUUUUGGUAAGCUCGCGAGGGUUUCAUGCAUUUACUCAUGAUUAGUUCAUCAUAUAGGGAUAAGCGACAAGCCUUUUAUAUUUGAUAUUUUUUUUGUUUUUUGACAAAAAGACUGUAAGGGAGGCCCCUACAGUAUAAUUGGUGCAACAAACCCAAAUUGCAAGUACCAUGCCUUGAAUCUGGGUGGGUGGGAAGGCAUCAACCCCUUCCCACCACUAGGCUAUGCCUUAGUUGCCCUUUUUUGAAUUAUGCCAAGUUUAUCCGAAUGAAGGCAGUAUGUAAUAGAGACAACUCCAUCUGCACUCCACACUGUUAUGAAGACAAAAAUGGUAUUAAGUGGUUAUUUGUACAAUUGUCUUUGAAAAUCUCAUCUCCUACUUACAUUUUACUCUAAAAGACUCAUACAACAGGAAAUUAUAUAUUCUUAUACUUCCAUAAGGUUUGUAAUUUUUGGGGGAAUCUCCCAUCUACCAAGUGGUCACAGACAAGGCUUAGUAGUCCUGUUAACAAUAUUUAUUUCUUAGCAUCUCGGGCCAAUGUCAAAUGAUUGGCUUUCCAACUACUUAUUUUGCCAUAUAUUUUUCAUAGUUAUUCUAUUACUAGAUAAUUGCAUGUGUAUUGAAGCAAGAUACAUUAUUUGCACGUCACCCAUGCCUCAUGAUAAAGAACAUUUUUAUUCACUCAUAAUGUCACAUCUAGAGAAUAAUCUCACGAUAAAAAACAUUUUUAUUGACUCAUAAUGUAGUGUCUACAAAAUACAAUCGCCAUGAGCACACAGACUUUGCAUGACUAGUACGCACACAAGCAACACCAACACACAGAUGCCCCCCCCCACACCCACCCACCCACCCACACACACACACACAAAGCAAGAAAACAAAAAACACAAAAUCCAAAAGUCCCAAGGCGAACUGAAACAUGUGGAAACAACCAUCAACAUCAACCACCAUUGAUGACAACAACUAAGAUAUGUGAAAGAUGCUUCAACAAUGACACCUUUAAGAAGUAACAAAACCCAUCUAAUGCCGUCAUCAAAUCCAGCCAUGGACACUAGAUCACGGGUUUUCGUCCUGAAGAAAAAUCCAAACAAACUCCGGACAAUGCCUUCAACAAGGGAAUGCCAUGAACACUAUCAUUGACAGGUACAAAUGAAGCAUUUGAAACCUGAAGCUUUCACUCGAAAGCAUGUGAGACUUUAGUAAAAAGCACCACCAAACUCACAUCAUCCCGUACCGCCAUUCCCACUUGCAAUGAAAGGAGCCACCGUUGCAAGCUAGGCCUUCACACCUCGACAAGAGUAUAUGCUUGCAACAUGCCCUCCAUUUAGCGUCACUAUUUGUUAUUAUAAUUUACUCUUUAUCAAUGAUAUUUUUCAUAUUAUUGCUCAAUUCUAAUGCCCUUUUCUCACUGAUUUGUAUGUAAUACACGGAGAGGAAAAUUCUUAGGAAUUUAGCGGGCAGCUGGAAAUCAGGGUAAAAUAUACAACAGAAGAAAAGUGUUGUCCACGUACCCUCGUAGACCGUAAACGGAAGCGUUAUGACAGCGCGGUUGAUGUAGUCGUACGUCUUCAUGAUUCGUCCGAUCCUAGUACCGAAAGUACGACACCUCCGUGAUCUGCACGCUUCGACUCAGUGACGUCCCACGAACUCUCGAUCCAGCUAAGUGUCGAGGGAGAGCUUCGUCAGCACGACGGUGUGAUGAUGAAGCUACCGGCGCAGGGCUUCGCCUAAGCAGUACGACGAUAUGACCGAGGUGGAUUAUGGUGGAGGGGGGCACCGCACACGGCUAAGAGAUCAAUGAUCAAAUUGUGUGUCCUAGGGUGCCUCCUGCCCCCGUAUAUAAAGGAGCAAGGGGGGAGGCCGGCCGGCCCUUGGGGCGCGCCAGGAGAGGAGGAGUCCUCCUAGUAGGAGUAGGACUUCCCUUUCCUAUUCUUACUAGGAGGAGGAAAGGAAGGAGGAGAGGGAGAAGGAAAGGGGGGCGCCGUCCCCCCAUCCCUAGUCCAAUUCGGACUAGAGGGGGGGCGCGGCCUGCCCUGGCUGGCCCUCUCUGUAUCUCNNNNNNNNNNNNNNNNNNNNNNNNNNNNNNNNNNNNNNNNNNNNNNNNNNNNNNNNNNNNNNNNNNNNNNNNNNNNNNNNNNNNNNNNNNNNNNNNNNNNNNNNNNNNNNNNNNNNNNNNNNNNNNNNNNNNNNNNNNNNNNNNNNNNNNNNNNNNNNNNNNNNNNNNNNNNNNNNNNNNNNNNNNNNNNNNNNNNNNNNNNNNNNNNNNNNNNNNNNNNNNNNNNNNNNNNNNNNNNNNNNNNNNNNNNNNNNNNNNNNNNNNCUUCCGGUGUCCGAAUAUAGUCGUCCAAUAUAUCAAUCUUUAUGUCUCGACCAUUUCGAGACUCCUCGUCAUGUACGUGAUCAUAUCCGAGACUUUGAACUACCUCUAGUACAUCAAAACACAUAAACUCGUAAUACCGAUCGUCACCGAACGUUAAGUGUGCGGACCCUACUGGUUCGAGAACUAUGUAGACAUGAUCGAGACUCAUCUCUGGUCAAUAACCAAUAGCGGAACCUCGAUGCUCAUAUUGGUUCCUACAUAUUCUACGAAGAUCUUCAUCGGUCAAACCGCACAACAACAUACGUUGUUCACUUUGUCAUCGGUAUGUUACUUGCCCGAGAUUCGAUCGUCGGUAUCUCAAUACCUAGUUCAAUCUUGUUACCGACAAGUCUCUUUACUCGUUCUGUAAUGCAUCAUCCCACAACUAACUCAUUAGUCACAUUGCUUGCAAGGUUUAUAGUGAUGUGCAUUAUCGAGAGGGCCCAGAGAUACCUCUCCGAUACACGGAGUGACAAAUCCUAAUCUCGAUCUAUGCCAACUCAACAAACACCAUCGGAGACACCUGUACAUCAUCUUUAUAGUCACCCAGUUACGUUGUGACAUUUGAUAGCACACUAAGUGUUCCUCCGGUAUUCGGGAGUUGCAUGAUCUCAUAGUCAUAGAACAUUUAUAAGUUAUGGAGAAAGCAAUAGCAGUAAACUAAACGAUCAUCGUGCUAAGUUAACGGAUGGAUCAAAUCAAUCACAUCAUUCUCUAAUGAUGUGAUCCCGUUAAUCAAAUGACAACUCAUGUCUAUGAUUAGGAAACAUAACCAUCAUUGAUUCAACGAGCUAGUCAAGUAGAGGCAUACUAGUGACAUAUUGUUUGUCUAUGUAUUCAACAUGUACUAAGUUUCUGGUUAAUACAAUUCUAGCAUGAAUAAUAAACUUUUAUCAUGAUAUAAAUAAAUAUAAAUAACAACUUUAUUAUUGCCUCUAGGGCAUAUUUCCUUCACUUGAGACCUCUCGAAGGAUUGAAAGCUUCAAGAAUUUCACCAUUGCAUUUAACGGGGUACCAUAUCAAGCACACACAACUCCUCAACCCAUCUAGUCCAUCUCUCACAGAAACCAAUCUAAGUAAAGACUCAAGGAAUCUCAAGUCGACGUGAUCGUACACCUUAGCGGAAUGAAGCUUGUAGGCGCAAUGGGUGUUCUGAGGGUUCCUUGUGUGAUGGAUCUUAUGAAUUUUUUUGAGAGCGAUCAUCCUCCCUAGAGUGAAUGCAAUCUUAUGAAAACACUUCAACCGAUCAUAGCAUUCUCAGUGAUCAUCCUCCCUAUGGAAUGAAUGCAAUAUUGUGAAAACACUUGAAACUGAUCAUAGCAUUAUCAAUGAUCAUCCCCUGGAAUGAAGGCGUUUUGAGUUUCAGAAAUAAUCUCAUCAAGGAGAGGGCGUAACUGGUUAACCAUGCACUUUGAGACCACCUUGUUAUAAUAUGGCUAUUUGGGUGGUAAUCUAUCAUGCACCUCAAGACCACCUUGUAAAUAACGCCACAGAGGCUGAUUGGGUUGUAAUCUUUCAAAAAUUGCGGAUUAAUUCAUUUAGGAAUUGUUAGAGUAUAUAGGCAUAUCCCUGUAUGUGGUAGACUAUAAUUUGUAAUUAUCUUCAGCCUUAUCUCUAGGGGAGACUUCCUGCUGUUCAAGCCUUGUACUCUAUAUAAAUCGCCCGAGAGGCUCAAUACAAUAUCCAUCGAUUCCAUCAAUCCUCUCCUUCUAUUCCCUGUAUCAUUGACUUGCUUUGGCAUCACACCCUCUUAAAAAACCUGCACUGCACUACUUCCUUGUUUAGCGUGUUACAAUUCCGCUGAAGGAGCCAAACGGGUCCACGGCGGAAACCCCCUCCGCCCCGUGUCGCCUUCCCCUGGCGACACGGGGGAAACCCUGACAGCCGCCGCCGUAAGGCCUCUCCUCCUCCUGCCCCCGCAUCGCCGCCGCCAAAGGGCGGGCCGGCGAAGCCGCGCCGCGCCCCGGGAUGGCGGCGGCGGGGCGGAUCCACUUCCCCGCGCGCGGCGCCACCCCUUCCCCACGUCCCCGAGAACCAGAUGCGGCGUCCUCCACCCCCCCCUUUGGCUGCUACCCCUGCCGGUCCGGCGGCCGUCCAGUGGCGGGCGUCCGGCAGCGUGCCAUGGGGCAUCCUGGCUGCUCCUCCCCCGCCGCCCCCGCUAUGGCGCAGCCAUGUUGGCCUCGGGUUGGUGCGGUUCUGUGUCCAGGUGCGGGCUGGCCUCGAUUGGCCGGACCUCGUCUCCGGUGGUGCUCCUCCCUCCCUCGAGCUGCAGUGACGGCUCCACCAUGGUGGCUUGUUGAGGUUACGGUGGUUGCAUCCCCAACGGCGGCUGCCUUUGACGGUGCGUCAGCCUGGCGGCUUGGUGGACGAGUGGCACCCUGCAGUGAGUUUGCCGGCGUUGUUCCGGCCCUGAUGGCCUUGGACCUGCGUUCUCCGGUGUCCGUGGCCUGCGGCGCCUCUGCCGACGCCGCUCCGGCCCCAAUGACCAAGUAGCCGCAUUCUCCUCUAGCAUACUCUGCUCGUCGAUGUCCUGUUGGCUAUGGCCCCGAUAGCUGGGAUGUGCGUUCCUCCAGCUCCUAGCUUGCCGGCGUCGCCGGUUGCCGAUGAUUACUCCCUGCAGAUUUUUCUCUGCCUCCUCGCGUCCUCGACGCCGUAUACCUCCACGCCUCACCUUGAGCCAGAACCAAUGGUCGUGUGUCCGAUGGCGCACUGUGCCAUCCUCCAGCGGCAGGUGCAACCCCACCGACCCUUUCUUGACGUGACAGUUUCGACCGGCAGUGACUUCCUCAUCAUAGAGUCCAUAUUCGAUGGCUAUGGGAUAUCUUAGACUCAGGCCAAGGAGAAAUCCUUGCUCGGCUAGCCCGUGCUAGCAGCGGCGUCAUUCACGGGUGUUGUUUUCCCUUCUUGAAGGCGCUGUCAUGGCCUUCAUCUGUGCCCCUCUUCGAGCUCAGGGGAAACCCUAGGUCCGGUUCUCCGGAUCGGAUGGCGCCGGCGUCUCGGCGCCGUUCUCCUUCUUGAAGGCGCUAUCUUGUUCGCUUGUGGUUGUCCCUGGUGGUGACUUUGCCGAUGUUAAAUCCAUUACUUGUUCGGUCUGCCUCUCUUGUUGGGUCUUGAUGGGUUUAGCUGUGUGUAUCCUCUGUUCUGGACCAAGCAUCCCUUGUUCCUUUGCUCCGUGCAGCAUGUUCGCACCUUCUUGCAUUUGUGUCAUGUAUUCUACCUAACUUUGUACCCAUUCUAUUUCCUUCUAUCAAUGAAAGAUACGUAAGCUUUGCGUAUUCGCGAAAAAAGCAAUUCCACUGAAAAAAUCGAGCUGGGAAACCACCCCCUCUCCCCACACCCGCCAUUCUAAGGCGAUAUAUCUCGCGUCUAUGGAAGCUCAUUUCCGAGACAUGAUAACCGCUGGAGGACACUCCAUGUAAUGCUCUAAAUGAAAAUUAGACAAGCCAUCUUCACACAAGGAAACCAACAUCGCUACGUGGGGCUAUAAACCGAGCUAAACAAGAAAAAAAUGAAAAGGUAGCAGAUGAAGGCACAUAUCCACGCGUAUUGUUGCAUGUGAUCUGUGAGUUAGAUCACCGGUUCUUCCAAGAUAUAUACUACAACUCAAAAAAAGAAAAGAUACUACGUCCAAACCUCUUGAACGUCAGUAAUUUGCACAGCACGCGAAAGACUAGCGUGAAUCGCGCGCGCAUCUCCCAUGUCCUAGGAAGAUCACAUCCCCAUGCGUAGUUACCAACCACAAGCCCACGAUAUGGGAUCUCCCAAAUCUGCACUGAUCUAGGCUUAAGCACCUUCCGAUCUCAUUUUUCAACGCAUUAAGCACCCCCGGGAUAUGGAUAGAUCACAUCACUUGCAUCGCACGUAUGCAACCUGCGAGGCUGCGAUUACCCCGAUGCAGUCCUCACGCGCCGGUCGAAAUGCGCCAACGAUUCACGAGGCGGAGGCAACUAAUUAAACUCGGAUCGAUCGAUCGAUCUAGGAGUACUUACUCAUCUGCGGAUAUAUAUUGAUCCGCGGAUCUUCAAGUCCUUGCAUAAUCUACGUGCAGAUCAGGCUAUGAUCCUGAUACGAUUUCUCCGCUUCCCAGCUGCCUCCCGUUUUGUAUAUGCAUAUUGCUGAGGCUCUUUCCGCUGUCACGGAGUACGUCAACUACACGAGUUGGCGAUUUUGUUAAUGAUUAGCAGCCCAAGAUGGCUGGGCCUGGGCGUACUCGGGCGCAUGAUGGGAUCGAAUCAUGUAUGCUUGUGCAUGCUAGCUAGCUGUGACAGUGAUGCCGACGCAAAUUGCAGGGCUCGCGACAAGCGUGGAUCCCCUUUAAAACACCCUCACCCAACGCGUGGGCACUAUCAUAUUGUCCACAACCCCUGUUGGCCAGGAGCUCCACGAGUGGCCAUCUCCCACCAGAUCUUCAUAUACAGCCACUGACAUGUGAGCCGGGUGGAUCCAAUUUAAAAUCUCCGCGGAGGGAAAGACAUCCAGGCUCGGUAUUUUAAUUUUAAUGGACACGAUCGCGCGAUCAAGGGGGGAAAAGUCACGUCCUACUUGGCGAGGGCGAUCGUUCUUGGAAGCUGGAGAUGUGGCUUAGAAAAUCGCCGCGGCAGAUCGGCCUGAAUCUUUCCAAGGAUCUCGUCCAGCUAGCGCCCCGUCGACGAUGGAUCACCAAUAAUCAAUGGCGCCCUCAUGGACUCCUACUUGUAUAUAUAUGCGCGCCCUGCUGGCUGUCGCUGUUGGUGAGUCGCCAUCGUCGGUGUAUAUAAACGCAUUGUUGCAUAGCACGCGGGUGAUACUAUAUGGGGAGCAGCAGCGUCGACGGAGCCGGCGAGAUGUGCUUGGAGGCUGGCGCCGGCAGGGCGGGGAGGCGCGGCGGGAAGAAGGCGGCGGAGAUGAAGGCCGCCAAGCAGCCGCAGCGCGGGCUCGGCGUCGCGCAGCUGGAGAAGAUCCGGAUGCAGAACCAGAUGAUCGCCGCGUACCGCUCCGGCCUGCCUCCGCCGCCUCCGCCGCAGCAGGUGCCGUACGCCGCAGUCCCGACGGCCGGCGCCGCAUCGUCUUUCCAGCCCUAUCUAGCUGUAAGUACCUACUUGAAAAUCGAAAUGCUGCAUGCAUCAGAUGACAUGUAUGCGUAGCUUAAGCUUACCUUUGUGCGCGCGCGUGGUUUCUCAGGGUUGCUUUGAGGCGAUGGACCGGAGGAUCGCUGACGUGCAGUACAGCCAGUACUACGCGGAGAACCUGCUGCCUAACAGCUCCAGCCGGCCGCCGUCGACGUCGCCGCUCUUCGUCGUCCAUGACUCGUCGUCGUCAGGACAGAGGCAGCAGCAGACGCCUCACGAGUACGACUACUGGAUGCGCCACAGCCACGAGUCCAGCGGCCGCGGCGGCGCCGGAAGCACGGAAGAGCUAGAUCUGGAGCUGAGGCUGUAGGAGACGCCACGGUGAGCUCGAUAGAUCGAAGUGUCUACUCUAAUUAAUCAUGUGUCCGUGCAUGCAUGGGCGAAGCGCCAUGCGGGAGAGAGGGAGAGGAUCAGAGGAGGGGCUUAGAAUUAGAUUGAUCGAUUAGCUAUCAAACUGGCGGUGCCAGAGUUAGCUGCUGCUUAAUUUGCUGACGGAAUGGCUGAUGCUUUCGUUCUGGAACUGUGGGAUGACUGAUAAACGUACGCUGCCACGCGCGACCGAUACAUGCAUGUAAAUCUUGUUUAACACCUUAUUAAUUGAAAUGGUUACCAGUUUGUAGAGGAAACUUUACAUACAUGUGUUGCGUAGUACUUUCAAAUUGAUUUCAGACGGGGGAAUUUAAGCGGCCUAUAUGGCUGUGAUGUGCCUGUACUUGGGUCCAUCACUCUUUUCCUUCUUUUCUUUUCUUACCAGCAAACAUGUCUGUCCGUUGUAUCGGGAGAAAAAAUAUCUCAUGCCCCUGGCUCCAUAAGCAUAGUUCAAUACCCUCCUUCCAACAGAUCCAUAUUCUUUAUUAAAAAAAUCGUCCCACUCGUGUCGUCGCUUAUCCUCAUUCUCGUCCUUGCCGACUAUGACCAAGGUAUCAUCCGAAUGUGCUCAAUCUCAAGGUGAUAGGCUCGGCCAGCACACGACACACCUGUCGUUGAACCGAGCUGGCAUAAGAGAAUGUUUAUAACUUCAAAUUAAUCUAGUCGAGUUGGACGUGAGUGCCAUCCCCAACGAGCUACUCCCUACACUCGAUGCAUGUGCACGACUACAUAUUUGCAAGGAACUCGACUAUCCUAAAAGACGUGUAAGUUAAUAAGACAUGGAGUAGUUGAAGCAGUUUUCAAGAAAAAACGGUCAAAAAAUCGGCAAAACCUAAAAUGGUGGAGGUGAGGUGGGAGAGAGGGAGUGCCGAGGAAAGAAAGAAGCACAUGAUAGAACCCUGCAUAUUCUUAGUUCUUACUUAAUCUUAUAACAAUAUAAUGACAGGUAAAUCAUGUUGAUUGCAUAUAAAAUAUUUAUGCCCCAUUGCUUCACACAUACAUUUUUUUUCUCUCUGGCGCAACAUAACUCUUAUGAGCCAAAAAUACGGAGGCGGUCCAACCCGGAAAGAGAGGAAGAAAAAACAAGUAAAGGCAUGUUCCAUCUUAUUACUCAUUGCCUAGCUCACAUGAUCUUUAUGCUACAAUUUUUCUGUCGCGAUGUAGCACAAAACAAUUAUUUUGAUAGUGUGGCUAGCCCAUAUGCUCGAUUUUCAACACAGACGGCAAGGUAAUAAAGCCUUGUUCUUCUAAAAAGAAUGAAUACGUAUGCAACACCUCCUUUUUCUUAACAUUUUGAUGAACUUCUGAAUUUCAUUGUAAUAAUUAAAAUCUACUAACAUCAACGAAAAGAAUGAAUACGUAUGCAACACCUCCUUUUUCUUAACAUUUUGAUGAACUUCUGAAUUUCAUUGUAAUAAUUAAAAUCUACUAACAUCAACGGGUUGUGGAUCUUGGAAACUAAUCGUGUUGCGUACUUGCGGAGCGAGGUAACAAUUUUCUAAACCAUAGAAUAAUGGGAAGGUUCAGGCUCCUCCUUCAUGAUCUUAACCUCAAGGAAUCUCCUCUGAUGGGAAGGCGGUACAUGUGGAGUAACGAGCAUCGUGCUCCUACGCUUGAAAAGAUUGAUCGCUGGUUCUCUACCAUUGAGUGGGACUUGACACAUCCAGAUUGUCUGAUGCAGGCCCUCUCCACGUCCAUCCAAUCAUUGCCCAUUAUUGAUCUCGACCAAUGUUGCGUUCUAUCGCAAAUCCCGGUUUCACUUCCAAUCGUUUUAGAUCAAGAUGGUGGGUUUUCAGAACAUCAUGGUUGAAGGUUUGCACUCCGUCUGGCCACAUAGUGAUCCUUUUGUGGAUCUUGUUGAUGGUGCACUACACCGGGGUGGCCCAGAGGCUAGGAAGCCCGACAGUGGGUUGGCCUCAGGGCUAAGGAGGCCUGAAGGAGGUCUAGCAGCCCGGGGGGCCUAGUUGGAGACCAAAAGACCAUCUUAGCGUUCAAGCUAAGAUGGCGGCCGCAUGAGAUCAGAUAGGUUCCGUGUAAACCCUAGCCCCUAUAUAAGGCGGGGCUAGGGGUAGCCAUUCCCAUAUACUCUGGUAGACUAGACUCUCGGUAGUCAUAUUCAUCAUCCUUGUAACUUCCUCGCACGAGGUGCUCCAUCAUCAAUAUAGAACAAUAAGAAUGAUGAUGACAUAGGGUAUUACCUCACUAUGAGGGUCUGGAACCUUGGUAACCCCCUUAUGCGAACCCCCUUAAAGCAUUUUCAGCCAAGCUAGCCACCGAUGACCCACAAGUAUAGGGGAUCGAUCAUGGUCCUUUUGAUGAGUAAGAGUAUCAAAUCCAACGAGGAGCAGAUGGAAUUGACAAGCGGUUUUCAACAAGGUUUCACUUCAAGUGUUGUAAGAUAAUUUCGAUAGACAGUUUGACAACAAGAUAGUUUGAACAAGGUAGCAAGUAACAAUAGUAACAAAGUGUGGCAAGUGGUCCAAUCCUUUAUUGUGCUAAGGACAAGCCGGCGAUACUUCUUAUAGUGAGUAAAACGCUCUUAAGGACACAUAGGAAUAUCGCCAAGUUACUUUUACCACGAUUCAUUGAGUUGAUGUUCAUUGCCUUGAUACGUCUUACGUAGGUGGACCGAGAUAAGGUAAUGUCCUUACUUGAACAAACACCUACUUAUGAUUAUACCAUGCAAGAAGCCGCAACUACAAAAGAAGUAAUUAAGAUAAAUCUAACCAUAGCAUUAAGCAAUUGGAUCCAGAACAACCCCUUACGAAAUAAUUCAUAAACUAGGGUUUAGGUUUCUAACACUCCCACAACCCAUCAUCUACAAACUAAUUCCACAAUGCCUUACCCUAGGCCCAAAGAUGGCGAGGUGUCAUGUAGUCGACGUUCACAUAACAUCACCAGAGGAACAAGAACACAACAUAAUAUCAAAACAAUGAACAGGAAUCAAAUUCACAUGAUUACUCACUACUGCAGGAUGCUGCUAACGCGAUACUAUAAUCAGAGACCCUUCGAUGAAACUGUGUGCGAUGCAAUAAUCGCAAACGUUGGUGUAAAAGAACCGUCAAAAAAGGUGCAAAAUGUUUGUGCUGGAGGAUGCAUCAAACAUGGUUCAGAUUUUAGUUGCGUGUGCGAUGCAGGGCAUACGGUUCAGUUCAAUGAACUAUUUGCGAUGAGGCGAAAGAAAAGAAACAGGUAGCCAUAUGAAGGCGUGUGCAAUAUACAACAUACGGUUCACUCGGAUGAACUGUUUGUGAUUAGGUAACACAAAAGAAGCAGUCAGCCAUAUCAAGGUGUGUGCGAUAUACAACAUGCGGUUCACUCGGAUGAACUGUUUGUGUUGAGACAAGAGAACAUAAACGGUUUAAUAUAACAAGAUAUGUGUGAUACGCGGCAAACAGGUUUGUAAUCAGAAAUGUGUGCAAAGACCGAUAAUAACACAGACGGUUGCUGCUAAUAAGACAUGGGUGUGUUGUGCGAUGGGAUUGCAUACAGAACAACAACAACAACACACACACACACACACACACACACACACACACACUUAUAAGGACAUGGUUGCAUAACCAAAUUAGACAUCCGCUUACAUAGGUGGCUACUACAAUUUGCACACACUAAAGUAAACUAUUACAUGCAUAAUUACAUAGGUGGCUACUACACACAUGAUAUUUCCACACACCAAUAAAGUAAACUAUAUAUUACAUGCAUGAUUAACUAGCAUAAACGAUCAUCUGAUCAUUAUCUACUUCUUGUGACGCUUGCUCUGCUUGUGGCUCGAUCCGGGCUCGUCGAUUUGGGUAACGAGGCACUCCCUCAUGUCAACGAUCCGUCUGUGCAUCUCGUAGCAUGUGUACACGCUCUUGGCCGCGAACCUGAGGUGAGGUUCAUCCAGUUGCCGCAUCUAGGCCCUGUGCUAGAAUAUGGGACUUGUUCUCUGGGCAUCCUGCUUCAUCUUUUCGUAGUAGGGUUCGAUGAUGGCUGAGGCGAGUUCGACCAGGGAGUCCUUCUUCGUGCUGCCCCAGACCCUGUAGUGGUCACGGAUUUCGACAAGGUUCUUGCAGGCCAAGCCCGUAACACUGAGCACUUUUACAUCGUCGGUGGUUUCCACCAUGGCGAACUUGUAGUUGGUGCUGUUGACAAACCUGUUGAAAUGGUCGCAAGGCUCUGUGGCCAUGCAGUAGUGGUAGAUAAGGACAUGAUGACGCACGCACAACUGGGCGAUGACAACCUUCUGAUCUAUGCCAGGACGACCGGUGGUGUACUGGAGGUCGAUGCCGACCACAUUGUACUUGUCUCGAGCAAGCAACUGCUCAACGCUGUUGAUGUAGUCGUCCACCACGGCCGGGUCGAUGGUGUACACCACUGAGAGAUCCGUCCCCCUCGCGUGGGUCUCCACUCUAUGCUCGCCGAACUCCAUUGGAGCGCCGCUAGACACCCCCUCUCUAUGUGUCGUCGUGGGUGUGCUUAUUGUGUUGUGGGACGCGAUCAAAAUGUUGAAGAGACUAAGCUUAUAAUGGCGGCGGGAAUUAAAGGGGAAGCCGGGCGGCCAGGAAUAUCGGCAGGCCCUGAUGGCAGUUAUAAUUUGCAGUGCGUAACUCCAUCGUGCCGUACGUAUCUGCAUCGCGUGGCAAUGCGUGGCGCAACCGCAUGCAUAUGGGGUCACCGACGUGAUCGUGCGCACGCCGAACCGCUGGCAGAGCAUGUGCGGAGGGAUUUGAGCAGAGCGCUCUGUGGUUGCCUCAAUGGCGAGCAACCACACACACACACACACACACACACACACACACACACACACACACACACACACACACACAUAUAUAUAUAUAUAUAUAUAUAUAUGCAUAUAGCAGUUGAACACACAAGGAAAAACUGUCCACAAGCCGAGCGCGUCGACGGACGCGAGCAGAGCGCACCGCGGCGCCUAACGGCGAGCAGAGCUUGCCAAGGGACGCGAGCAGAGGCCGGCACAGUGAUACGUGGCAUAUAGGACGAACUGUGCGAGCGAUGAGGGAGACAUCAAGCACGAGUCAGAUUAGAGUUGCGUGUGCGGUACGUGGCAUACAUUUGAUCCAUCCGAGUUGUUUAUGAUGGAAUAAGCCGUGUGUGUUGCGGGCAUACGCUUGCUGGUAUAUAAUCUUAAAUUUAAACAAAAAAGUGUUAAUGCAUGUUACAAAAAUUGUAUAACUGGAAACUAUGUUCAAAUACGAAUCCAACGAUAUAAUCUUUGGCGACAUGCAUUCGUAUUUUAUUAGUUAAAUCCUACUUAUAAACCAGGACUAGGGUAUAGUAGGUAAUUAAAUCGCAAAUGUUUUUUUGUAUUAACCGUAUGUGUACAUGUCCUUUCGUCCUCCUCUCGCAUGUCUUGUCACCCUGCAGCCGCAGAUGGCUUACAUCGCAAGCUUGCGCAGCGCGAGGGGGCGUUCUUUUGGCCAAACAGUGGCUCGAAGUGGCGCCAAUGAAUCAUCGGUGAGCCCAUUCCCGCGCAACCUCACAGGUUCCCGCCCGACUCGGUGAAAUCCGCCAAAAUCCCAAUGCUUUACCGGCCUGCUAUAUAAACCCUCAUGGCCGGCGAGUCCUGUGUCGCAUUUUCCCCUCCCUCCCUGUAGCUUAUCCCGUAUGCUUCUCCCAUAAUCGCCAAUGGCAUCGGUCGGUGUCAUCGUUGCUCAGCCACUACACUGUCAUCAGAGGACAGCUCCAGUUGGGAGGCUACACCGCGGCGGCGGCUCAGUCCCCGGCUUAAUGUAGUGCGUGUGGCGUCCCUAUUGGGUGUGCGUGGAACACCCACCACACGCUCCGCUGCCACUGCCCGUCGGCAGCUGUUGCCCGCCGUUGCCGCCACACCACUGUUGAAAGCCAGGGCCAUCGCCCGCUCCGCCACCGUGGCCCGAAGGCGGGAGGUGGCCGUCGUGGCCGCCACCCCACUGCCGGCCAUCACCCGCUCCACCACCGCGGCCCAAAGGCGGGAGGUGGCCGUCGUGGCCGGCAUCCCAUCAUAGGCCGCUGUGGCCGCCAGCCCACCGUCGACCAUCGGGAUCAUCACCCGCUCCGCCACCAUCACUCGAAGGAGGGAGGCGGAGGAGGAGGCCCGCACGUGCGUCAGCAACCUUGUGCACUACAUCGAGUUCCCGCGGGAGGAGGAGGAGCGCCUUGUCGAGCAUGCAAAGAGCCUUACCGUAGCCGUGGCCGCAGCACACGCCAACGCAGAGGCGAGGAAUCAGGAGAUCUAUGAGCAGUCCGGCCGCUUCGAGAGGGAUCGUCUGGAGCGACAGUGGGCGUUCGAGCUAGCGAGCGUCAUUGAACGUGCAGCAGCGGCAGGCACCAUAUUGCAUUUGUCCAGCUCGUCGAUAGGCUCCUCCUUCUCUGCCUCUUACUGAGCGCGCUCGACAAAGGAGAGGCUGCCGGAAGUAGCACAAAGCCCCUCUGUAGUAGUAGUAUUUAGGGGCUAUUUUGUUUAGUUCAUCUGACUAUAGAUGUGUGGUGGAACUGUACAACAUACUAGUAUAUAUAGUUGAACUAGCUAUUUCAGUACAUGGUUGGCAACAAUUGGGGAAAAGGUUGGUCAGUUCAGCUGUCGAGUUGAACUGUUUGUAUAAAUUAAGAACAACUGCUUAAUCUAUGAAUGAAAUCUAUGCUUAAUUACUGAAUUUUAGUUGCAAAAAUUAGAUAGUACUAGUGAUUUUUAGCUGCAUAUUUUGACAAAUCGCAGUGUUACAAGGAUUGACAAAUGGCAGUGUUACUAGAUCAACAAAUGUCAAUUUUUCCAGUUUGACAAAUGGCAACAUACCCAAUAUGAAAGAUGCAAAUCUUACCAAAUUGUUUGUACGUGGUUGCAUACGGGUCAUCCAAAACAACCGUUUGCGUUGAAGGGAUGCACAAAUCCUGCCUGCAAAUUUUCCCUCGACUUAAGGGGGAAGACUAUAGCUCUCACUUUGCAUACGAGUGUUCUAUCUAAAACAUUUGCGAUCUAGAGCUGCAGAAAUCCUGCUCGGCGCAUUUUCUCUUGGCUUCCUGGGGAAGCUGUCGGUUUGCAUACGGGUGUUCUAACUAAAAAGUUUGCGAUCAAGAGCUGCACAAAUCCUGCUAGGCACAUUUCCCUUGGCUUCCUGGGGAACUUGUCGGUUUUGCAUACGGUGUUCUAACUAAAACGUUUGCGGUGAGUGUUUUAUAUUUAAAAACCGUAUUAAACUGCGGCUUGGGCGCCACUAAUGGAGAGGAUGCGAGCAAGGCGUACGACCAUGGAAGUCAAAGGGCUCGCUUCCCGGUGAGCCUGCACGGCGUACAACUCGCACGCUUCUCGGUGAGCCUCCGCAUUGGAGUACAGCUCGCAUGCCUCCCAUUUAGUCAAGAACUCAAGCAUCUAUCCGCAUGACACCUCCUAGCCAUUAAAAGAGUGAGACGUGGCAUUACGUGAAUGGUUAACAGAAUGCACACAAUUUAAAUUAUACAAAAUGUUUGAGAUGUUACAGUGGCAGCUAUUUGUUUCAAAAUGCCUUUGUCGGCAGUUAUUCGAGUGCGCCUUCUCUCAAAAUGGACAUGAAAAAUACCACAACAUGUCGGGUGCCAUUCCAUUAUAGCAUGCCAAGUUUCAUGAAUUUCAGACGAAUUUUGGAUUUACUAGAAUUUAAAAAUCAAGUAUCUCAACAUUUUGCCGGCAAUCAACACUGCCCUGGUGUUUGAAAUUCAUUUCCAUUUCUUGCAUGGGACCUAAGCAUGCACCAAAGGAAAUAGAUUUGAUUUUCCAACCAAUUUAUAUGCACUGGAGCAUGUGCAUGUAGUUCAAAUUUGAAUUAUGCACAUAAAAUGCCUAGAAAGCCUAGUUCAUGUAUAAAAAUGUCGAAACGAACCCCAAAAAUUCCAGAAUUAAACACAACACUCUUGUUGUUCUACGUUGACACUAGAAAUUUUUUGAAAGCAAUAAGAGACAACAGAUAUCAUUUCGUCCCCAAAGGUGGCACGUUCCCUACCGAAACCAUCACGCUUGUUGUGAGAAGCCCUGGUUUGGGAGAAGCUUAUACCCAAACCUGCCCCAAAUGGGAAAAAUCUUUUACCACAACAUGUUGAUGCUGCUCCAUGAUAGCAUGCCAAGUUUCAUGAAUUUUAGAUGAGUUUUGGAUUUACUAGAAUUUAAAAACCAAAUAUCUCAAUGUUUGCGGCCGAGUGACAGUGGCAGGGUGUUUGAAAUUCAUUCCCAUUUCUUGCAUGGGACCUAAGCAUGCACCGAAGGACACAAAUUUGAUAUUUCAACCAAUUUAUAUGCACUGGAGUAUGUGCAUGUAGUUCCAAUUUGAAUUAUGCACCUAAAAAUGCCUGUAAAACCCAGUUAAUGUAUAAAAAUGUCCAAAUGAACCCCGAAAAAUUCCAAAAUUAAACACAACACUCUUGUUGUUCUAUGUUAACACUAGAAAAUUUUAGAAAGCAAUAAGAGGCAAUGGAUAUCGUUUUGUCCCCAAAGGUGGCACAUUCCCUACCGAAACCAUCACGCUUGUUGUGAGAAGCUCUAGUUUGUGAGAAGCUCUGGUUUGUGAGAAGCUUAUACCCAAACCUGGCCCAAAUGGAAUAAUUUUUUUACCAUGGCAUGUUGAUGCCGCUCCAUGAUAGCAUAUUUCAUGAAUUUCAAACGAGUUUUGGAUUUACUAGAAUCUAAAAACCAAGAUAUCAAUGUUUGCAGCCGAGUGACGGUGAUAGGGUGUUUGAAAUUCAUUUCCAUUUCUUGCGUGGGACCUAAGCAUGCACGGAAGGACACAAAUUUGAUCUUUCAACCAAUUUAUAUGCAUCGGAGCAUGUGCAUGUUGUUCAAAUUUGAAUUAUGCACCUGAAAUGCUUGGAAAACCAAGUUAAUGUAUAAAAAUGUCCAAACAAAGCCCGAAAAAUUCCAAAAUUAAACACAACACUCUUGUUGUUCUAUAUUGACACUAGAAUUUUUUUCAAAGCAAUAAGAGGCAACAGAUAUCGUUUCGUCCCCAAAGGUGGCACGUUCCCUACCGAAACCAUCACGCUUGUUGUGAGAAGCUCUGGUUUAUGAGAAGCUUAUACCCAAACCUGCCCCAAAUGGGACAAAAAUUUUACCACGACAUGUUGAUGCCGCUCCAUGAUAGCAUGCCAAGUUUCACGAAUUUCAGACGAGUUUUGGAUUUACUAGAAUUUAAAAACCAAGUAUCUCACUGUUCGCGGCCGAGUGAUGGUGGCAUGGUGUUUAAAAUUCAUUCCCAUUUCUUACAUGGGACCUAAGCAUGCACCGAAGGACACAAAUUUGAUUUUUCAACCAAUUUAUAUGCACUGGAGCAUGUGCAUGUAGUUCUAAUUUGAAUUAUGCACCUGAAAUGCAAGGAAAACCUAGUUAAUGUAUAAAAAUGUCCAAACGAACCCCGAAAAAUUCAAAAAUUAAACACAACACUCCUGUUGUUCUAUGUUGACACUAGAAAUUUUUUGAAAGCAAUAAGAGGCAAUGGAUAUCGUUUCGUCCCCAAAGGUGACACGGUCUCUACCGAAACCAUCACGCUUGUUGUGAGAAGCUUAUAUCCAAACCUGCCCAAAAUGGAACAUUUUUUUACCACGGCAUGUUGAUGCUGCUCCAUGAUAGCAUGCCAAGUUUCAUGAAUUUCAUACGAGUUUUGGAUUUACUAGAAUUUUAAAACCAAGUAUCUCAAUGUUUGCGGCCGAGUGACGGUGGCAGGGUGUUUGAAAUUUAUUCCCAUUUCUUGCAUGGGACCUAAGCAUGCACCGAAGGACACAAAUUUGUUUUUUCAACCAAUUUAUAUGCACUAGAGCAUGUGCAUGUAGUUCAAAUUUGAAUUAUACAUAUAAAAUGUGUGGAAAACCCAGUUAAUGUAUAAAAGUGUCCAAACAAACCCUGGAAAAUUCCAAAAUUAAACAAUCCUGUUAUUCUAUGUUGACACUAGAAUUUUUUUGAAAGCAAUAAGAGGCAACAAAUAUCGUUUCAUCCCCAAAGGUGGCACGUUCCCUACUGAAACAAUCACGCUUGUUGUGAGAAGCUCUAGUUUGGGAGAAGCUUAUACCCAAACCUGCUACAAAUGGGACAAAACUUUUACCACGGCAUGUUGAUGCCGCUCCAAGAUAGCAUGCCAAGUUUCAUGAAUUUCAGACGAGUUUUGGAUUCACUACAAUUUAAAAACCAGGUAUCUCAAUGUUUGCGGCUGAGUGACGGUGGCAGGGUGUUUCACAUUCAUUCCCAUUUCUUGCAUGGGACCUAAGCAUGCAACCAAGGACAUGUUUUUUAAACCCAUUUAUAUGCACUGGAGCAUGUGCAUGUAGUUCAAAUUUGAAUUAUGCACCUGAAAUGCCUACAAAACCAAGUUAAUGUAUAAAAACAUCCAAACGAACCCUGAAUAAUUCCAAUUUUUUGAUGACACACCUAUAGUUGUAUGUUCACUGCAAAUAAAAGUUCUACCAAUUCAAACACCAUCCUUUGCAGCUGUGACCCCAUUUCGUAAUUCAAAUCAAGGCAAAAAAUCAAGUAGAUCGUGCACAGUUUAUUAUCGCCAACCAUGUGAUAUGCAUCACAAAAUAUCUUGGAGCACCGUCGGAGUGUCAAGCACACUAGCCCACUCCUCAAAUAUCAUUUCACUGUUCAAUCGUCGCUAGUGAAAGAUGGGGACAUGGACCCGCGUCGUGAGGGAAACUUCGGCGGCCCACUCCAGCGAGAGCGCGGCCGCAACCGCCAGGCGCGUGCUAACAAGCUUCGUGAGGGUGAACACAAUCUACGUCCGGGCGGCCAAGGCAGCCCAAACGGCUGUUGUUGCUUCUCAGGCGGCGGCAGUAGCAUCUGCCUCGGGGAUAACAACUAGCGAGAGCGGCACACCAGCUGUUCGUUCUGCAGUGGCGGCCUUAGCCUUGAUGGAGGCAGCCCACCACCAUGUCGAGGCCGUCCAUGCCCAGCUCGUGGCGGUCACCGCACAAAUCGAACGAAGCUUCUCUGGCAAUGGUUGGCAACCCACGGCCCAAGAGUUGGCAAUCGUUGAGAGAGUUCGAGCAGCCAUCCGUUCCUGCGCGGCAUACCUCGCCACGACGGAGCCUGCCAAAGCCUAGAUAGCGGCCGCCCACGCCAACUUGUGGCGGCCUAUUCCAAAGAUAUGGCAGACGCGGAUGGCGAGAUGCUUGUCGAGUAUGGUGCAAUUGAUGCCAUGGAGCCCCUUCCCCAGGAGACCGUCGGGCGCGAGCUGGACAUGGAGGCGGCGGCGGAGAUCGACGAGCACCAGCCGUAGUAGUACUCUUUGUUUUGUUUAAUUAAGAGCGUCGGUCUUUAAUUUGUUAGAGUAAUGUUUAGGUCAGCUAGCUCUGUUUAAUUGCUGAACUUGGUCGAUUAAGAAGUCUGGGUGUGAAGGAAAUAUGCCCUAGAGGCAAUAAUAAAGUUGUUAUUUAUAUUUCCUUAUAUCAUGAUAAAUGUUUAUUAUUCAUGCUAGAAUUGUAUUAACCGGAAACUUAUUACAUGUGUGAAUACAUAGACAAACUGAGUGUCACUAGUAUUCCUCUACUUGACUAGCUCAUUAAUAAAAGAUGGUUAAGUUUCCUAGCCAUGGACAAAGAGUUAUCAUUUGAUUAACGGGAUCACAUCAUUAGAGAAUGAUGUGAUUGACUUGACCCAUCCGUUAGCUUAGCACGAUGAUCGUUUACUUUGUUGCUAUUGCUUUCUUCAUAACUUAUACAUGUUCCUAUGGCUAUGAGAUUAUGCAACUCCCGAAUACCAGAGUAACACUUAGUGUGCUAUCAAAUGUCACAACGUAACUAGGUGGUUAUAAAGAUGCUCUACAGGUGUCUCUGAUGGUGUUUGUUGAGUUGGCAUAGAUCGAGAUUAUGAUUUGUCACUCCGAUUAUCGGAGAGGUAUCUCUGGGCCCUCUCGAUAAUACUCAUCACUAUAAGCCUUGCAAGCAAUGUGACUAAAGAGUUAGUUACGCGAUGAUGCAUUACGGAACAAGUAAAGAGACUUGCCGGUAACAAGAUUGAACUAGGUAUUGAGAUACCGACGAUCGAAUCUCGGGCAAGUAACAUACCGAUGAUAAAGGAAACAACGUAUAUCGUUAUGCGGUUUGACCGAUAAAGAUCUUUGUAGAAUAUGUGGGAGCCAAUAUGAACAUCCAGGUUCCGCUAUUGGUUAUUGACCGGAGACGUGUGUUGGUCAUGUCUACAUAGUUCUCGAACCCGUAGGGUCCGCACGUUUAACGUUCGGUGACAAUCGGUAUUAUGAGUUUAUGUGUUUUGAUGCACCGAAGGUAGUUUGGAGUCCCGGAUGUGAUCACGGACAUGACGAGGAGUCUCUAAAUGGUCGAGACAUAAAGAUUGAUAUAUUGGAUGACUAUAUUCGGACACCGGAUGAGUUCCGGGGGUCACCGGAUAAUUAUCGGAGUGCCGGGGGGUUAUCGGAACCACCGGGGGAACUAAUGGGCCAACAUGGGCCUUGUGUGAGAGAGAGGAGGGGCCAUAGGGCUGUCCGCGCCCCCGCUUGGGAGUUGGACUAGGAAAGUGGGAGUCCUACUCCUACUAGGAGGAGGACUCCUCCCCCUCAUUGGCGCGCCCCAUGGCCGGCCUCUCCCUUGCUCCUUUAUAUACGGGGGCAGGGGGGCACCCUAGAGCACACAAGUUGAUCAUUGAUCCCUUAGCCGCGUGCGGUGCCCCCCUCCACCAUAAUCCACCUCGGUCAUAUCAUCGUAGUGCUUAGGCGAAGCCCUGCGACGGUAGCUUCAUCAUCACCGUCAUCACGCCGUCGUGCUGACGAAGCUCUCCCUCGACACUCAGCUAGAUCGAGAGUUCGUGGGACGUCACCGAGCCAGACGUGUGUAGAUCGCGGAGGUGCCGUACUUUCGGUACUAGGAUCGGUCGGAUCAUGAAGACAUACAACUACAUCAACCGCAUUGUCAUAACACUUCCGCUUACGGUCUACGAGGGUACAUGGACAACACUCUUCCCCUCUCGUUGCUAUGCAUCACCAUGAUAGAUCUUGCGUGUUCGUAGGAAUUUUUUUUGAAAUUACUGCGUUCCCCAAUAGUGGUAUCAUAGCCAGGUUUAUGCGUAGAUGUUAUAUGCACGAGUAGAACACAAAGGAGUUGUGGGCGUGGGUAUGUACAUAUUGCUUGCCGUCACUAGUUGUUUCUUGAUUCAGUGGUAUUGUUGGAUGAAGCGGCCCAGAUCGACAUUACACGUACGUUUACGCGAGACUGGUUCUACCAACAUGUUUCGCACACAGGUGGCUGGUGGGUGUCAGUUUCUCCAACUUUAGUGAAUCAGGUUCAAUGAACCGGGUUCUUUCUGAAGAUCAAAAAACAAUCACUAUACCGCGUUGUGGUUUUUGAUGCGUAGGUAAGAACGGUUCUUGCUCAGCCCGUAGCAGCCACGUAAAACUUGCAACAACAAAGUAGAGGACGUCUAACUUGUUUUUGCAGGGCAUGUUGUGAUGUGAUAUGGUCAAGACAUGAUGCUAAAUUUUAUUGUAUGAGAUGAUAAUGUUUUGUAACACAAUUAUCGGCAACUGGCAGGAGCCAUAUGGUUGUCGCUUUAUUGUAUGAAAUGCAAUCACCAUGUAAUUGCUUUACUUUAUCACUAAAUGGUAGUGAUAGUCGUAGAAGCAAUAGUUGGCGAGAUGACAAUGAUGCUUCAAUGGAGAUCAAGGUGUCUAGCCGGUGACGAUGGUGAUCAUGACGGUGCUUUGGAGAUGGAGAUCAAAGGCACAAGAUGAUGAUGACCAUAUCAUAUCACUUAUAUUGAUUGCAUGCGAUGUUUAUCCUUUAUGCAUCUUAUUUUCCUUAGUUCGGUGGUAGCAUUAUAAGAUGAUCUCUUGAUACGUCUCCGUCGUAUCUAUAAUUUUUGAUUGUUCCAUGUCAAUAUUAUUCAACUUUCAUAUACUUUUUGGCAACUUUUUAUAUUAUUUUUGGGACUAACAUAUUGAUCCAGUGCCCAGUGCCAGUUCCUGUCUGUUGCAUGUUUUUGGUUUCGUAGAAUAUCCAUAUCAAACGGAGUCCAAACGGGAUAAAAACGGACAGAGCUUAUUUUUGGAAAAUAUGGAAAAUUUGGAAGGAAAAUCAACGCGAAUCAGUGCCCGAGGUGGUCACGAGGCAGGGGGCGCGCCCUACCCUCGUGAGCCCACCGUAAGGCGGUUGACGCUCUUCUUCUGCCACAAGAAAGCUAAUAUUCGGAAAAAAAUCACGGCGAAGGUUUCAGGCCAAUCGGAGUUACGGAUCUCCAUAUAUAUAUAUAUAUACGAAACGGUGAAACAGAGCCAGAACAGAACGCAGAACCAGAGAGAAACAGAGAGAUAGAUCCAAUCUCGGAGGGGCUCUCGCCCCUCCCAUGCCAUGGAGGCUAAGGACCAGAGGGGAAACCCUUCUCCCAUCUAGGGAGGAGGUCAAGGAAGAAGAGGAAGAAGGGCCCCCUCUCCCCCUCUCCUCCGGUGGCGCCGGAACGCCACCGUGGCCAUCAUCAUCACCGCGAUCUUCACCAACACCUCCACCAUCUUCACCAACAUCUCCAUCACCUUCCCCCCUCUAUCUACAGCGGUCCACUCUCCCACAACCCGCUGUACCCUCUACUUGAACAUGGUGCUUUAAGCUUCAUAUUAUUAUCCAAUGAUGUGUUGCCAUCCUAUGAUGUCUGAGUAGAUUUUCGUUGUCCUAUCGGUGGUUGAUGAAUUGCUAUGAUUGAUUUAAUUUGCUUGUGGUUAUGUUGCUGUCCUUUGGUUCCCAUCAUAUGAGCGCGUGCGUGGAUCACACCAUAGGGUUAGUUGUAUGUUGAUAGGACUAUGUAUUGGAGGGCAAGAGUGACAGAAGCUUCAACCUAGCAUAGAAAUUGAUGCAUACGGGAUUGAAGGGGGACCAAUAUAUCUUAAUGCUAUGGUUGGGUUUUACCUUAAUGAAUGUUAGUAGUUGCGGAUGCUUGCUAAUAGUUCCAAUCAUAAGUGCAUAGAAUUCCAAGUAAGGGAUAACAUGCUAGCAGUGGCCUCUCCCAGAUAAUACUUGCUAUCGGUCUAAUAAAGUAGUCAAUUUCUUAAGUGACAAUUUCGCAUCUCCUACCACCACUUUUCCACACUCGCUAUAUUUACUUUAGUUGCUUCUUUACCUUAACAGCCCCUAGUUUUAUUUUCGUGCUCUUAAUUAUCUUGCAAACCUAUCCAACAACACCUACAAAGUACUUCUAGUUUCAUACUUGUUCUAGGUAAAGCGAACGUCAAGCGUGCGUAGAGUUGUAUCGGUGGUCGAUAGAACUUGAGGGAAUAUUUGUUCUACCUUUAGCUCCUCAUUGGGUUCGACACUCUUACUUAUCGAAAAUUGUUGCGAUCCCUAUACUUGUGGGUUAUCAAGACCUUUUUCUGGCGCCGUUGCCGGGGAGCAAUAGCGUGGGGUGAAUAUUCUCGUGUGUGCUUGUUUGCUUUAUCACUAAGUAAUUUUUAUUUGCUGUUCUUAGUUGUUUCCUAUCUUCAGUUAUGGGUAGGAAACGCAAAAUACCAAAAAAAUUAGUUGUACCUACUGAACCAAUGGUUGAAGAACCAAUCAAAAUCUAUCACACUGCUGAAGCUUAGUACUUGGAUCAUCUUCGAUCCCUAUGUGCUCAUGCUGAAACCCCAACUAGCUUAGUUGAGGGCAAAUCAUUAGAUGAGCAUGCUUGUUAUGUGCGACACCGUAUAUCUAAAAAAGGGAAAUUAUUAUGGAGUCAGAUUCAACGUUUGCAAUGCUAUGCUUGGAAUUUAUGUGAAUUAUAUGAUUUUACUUGUUGUUCUGAAAACCCUAAGAAACACCUUCCCUACCAAUGUGAGUUUAUUGAUAAUGGAAUCUUAUCUUCUAAUGCUAAAGGUGUUUAUAGUUACUAUGAUGUUCAACAAAUUGAAGAAUUUGUUGCUUUAGAGGGUGCUUAUGAAAUUGCUUCUUUGAUUGAAAAGUAUGAUGCUACUUUUCAUAAAUCUAAAUUUUUUGCUAUACUUAAAUAUUGCUAUGAUAAUUAUGCUUCUAAUACGUAUGUUAAACAAUAUAUUGAGGAAUACUCCGCUGUCCAAGAAGAGACUAAUAUUUUGCAGGAAUCUAUGGAAGAAGAAGUUGAUGACACUAUGAGCUCAUUGGAUGAAAAAGAUGAGGAGGAGAGCGAAGAACAAAAGGAGGAAGAGCGGAUUGAUCACCCGUGCCCACCUUCUAAUGAGAGUAACUCUUCAACUCAUACAUUGUUUAAUUCCCCUUCGUGCUUACCGAAGGAUGAUUGCUAUGAUGAUUGUUAUGAUCCCUAUGAUUCUUUUGAAAUAUCCCUUUUUGAUGAUGCUUGCUAUGAUUAUGGCCAAGAUGCCAAUAUGAAUUAUGCUUAUGGAGAUGAACUUGCUAUAGUUCCUUAUGUUAAACAUGAAAUUGUUGCUAUUGCACCCACACAUGAUAGUCCUAUUAUAUUUUUGAAUUCUCCCGAUUAUACUAUAUCGGAGAAGUUUGCACUUAUUAAGGAUUAUAUUGAUGGGUUGCCUUUUACCGUUGCACAUGAUGAUUUCGAUAAAUAUAAUAUGCAUGUGCUUGCUGCUCCUACUUGCAAUUAUUAUGAGAGAGGAACUAUAUCUCCACCUCCCUAUGUUUCCAACAUGAUAAAAUUGCAAGAAACUGUUUAUACUAUGCAUUGACCUUUACUAGGUGUGCAUGAAUUGUUCUUUUAUGACAUGCGAUGCAUAGGAAGAGAGUUAGACUUCGUCAUUGCUUGAUAUAUGUUGCUUUGAGCUCACUACUAAAUUACAAAUCAUUGUUAAUUAAAAUUGGCUUUGAUAUACCUUGGGAUCCGGGUGGAUUCACUACUUGAGCACUUUAUGCCUAGCUUAAUGGCUUUAAAGAAAGCGCUGCCAGGGAGACAACCCGGAAGUUUUAGAGAGUCAUUUAUUUCUGUUGAGUUCUUUCAUAUAGUUUUAAAACAACAAAAAUAAAGAGGGGAACCCAAAACUUUUUCAAAAAGGAAAGUGAAAGUGAGAAAGACAAGCACUGUUGAAGUGGGAGAGCUCCUUGAACUUUGUUCAUGCUCACGGCAACUUUGUGAAUCUUGAUUACAUAAACUUUUCAACAAAAAUAAUUACCCCUUGUACAAUUCCAUUGUAUUAUAAAAAUAAUGUGCCAAGGUUUGCCUUUAGGAUGUUUACGAUGCGUGUUGGUUUGUACUGUGCAGGACAAAAACUUUGGCUGUAGUGCGCGAUUUUACAUUUUUAGCUGGAACGUCAAAUGGUUCUGAUUCUUUUUGCACUGUCUUCCUAUACAAAUUGUUUAUUUUUACUAAUUUUUGCAGAACUUUUCAAGUAUCAUAAGUAUGGUGAAUGUUCACAUUAUUACAGACUGUUCUAUUUUAGUCAGAUUCUGUUUUUGAUGCAUAGUUUGCUUGUUUUGAUGAAACUAUCAAUUUAUAUUAGUGGAUUAAGCCAUGAAAAAGUUAUAUUACAGUAGACACAAUGCAAAAACAAAAUAUGAAUUGGUUUGCAACAAUACUUAGAGUAGUGAUUUAUUUUAUUAUACUAACGGAUCUUACCGAGUUUUCUGUUGAAGUUUUGUGUGGAUGAAGUGUUCGAUGAUCGAGAAGGUCUCGAUGUGAGAAGAAGGAAGAGAGGAAAGAGCUCAAGCUUGGGGAUGCCUGAGGUACCCCAAGUAAAUAUUCAAGCAGACUCAAGCAUCUAAGCUUGGGGAUGCUGGGGAGGCAUCCCCUCUUUCUUCAACAAAUAUCGAUAUGUUUUCGGAUUCGUUUCGUUCAUGCGAUAUGUGCAAGUCUUGGAGCGUCUUUUGCAUUUAGGUUUUUCUUUUUCUUUUUAUGCACCAUGCUGGUAUGAGAUAGUCCUUGGUUGAUUUAUAGAAUGCUCUUUGCACUUCACUUAUAUCUUUUGAGUAUGGCUUUAUAGAAUGCUUCAUGUGCUUCACUUAUAUCAUUUGAAGUUUGGAUUGCCUGUUUCUCUUCACUUAGACAACCACCAUUUGUAGAAUGCUCUUUUGCUUCACUUAUAUUUGUUAGAGCGUGGGCAUAUAUUUUGUAGAAAGAAUUGAACUCUCUUGCUUCACUUAUAUCUAUUUAGAGAGAUGACAUGAAUUGGUCAUUCACAUGGUUAGUCAUACAAUCCUACAUAAAACUUGUAGAUCACUGAAUAUGAUAUGUUUGAUUCCUUGCAAUAGUUUUGCGAUAUAAAGAUGGUGAUAUUAAAGUCAUGCUAGUGGGUAAUUGUGGAUUGUAGAAAUACUUCUGUUGAGGUUUGUGAUUCCCGUAGCAUGCACGUAUGGUGAACCGUUAUGUAACGAAGUCGGAGCAUGAUUUAUUUAUUGAUUGUCUUCCUUAUGAGUGGCGGUCGGGGACGAGCGAUGGUAUUUUCCUACCAAUCUAUCCCCUAGGAGCAUGCGCAUAGUACUUUGUUUCGAUGAAUAAUAGAUUUUUGCAAUAAGUAUGUGAGUUCUUUAUGACUAAUAUUGAGUCCAUGGAUUAUACGCACUCUCACCCUUCCACCAUUGCUAGCCUCUCUAGUACUGCGCAACUUUCGCCGGUACCAUAAACCCACCAUAUACCUUCUUCAAAACAGCCACCAUACCUACCUAUCAUGGCAUUUCCAUAGCCAUUCCGAGAUAUAUUGCCAUGCAACUUCCAUCAUCAUCAUAUACAUGACUUAAGCAUUUAUUGUCAUAUUGCUUUGCAUGAUCGUAAGAUAGCUAGCAUGAUGUUUUCAUGGAUUGUCCAUUUUUUGAUGUCAUUGCUACGCUAGAUCAUUGCACAUCACGGUACACUGCCGGAGGCAUUCAUAUAGAGUCAUACUUUGUUCUAGACAUUGAGUUGUAAGUAAAUAAAAGUGUGAUGAUCAUCAUUAUUAGAGCAUUGCCCCAGUGAGGAAAGGAUGAUGGAGACUAUGAUUCCCCCAUAAGUCGGGAUGAGACUCCAGACUUUAAAAAAAAGAGGCCAAAGAAGCCCAAAUAAAAAAGAGGCCAAAGAAUCCCACCAAAAAAAAUAAUAAAUAAAAUGAGAGAAAAAGAGAGAAGGUGCAAUGUUACUAUCCUUUUACCACACUUGUUCUUCAAAGUAGCACCAUGUUCUUCAUAUAGAGAGUCUCUUGAGUUAUCACUUUCAUAUACUAGUGGGAAUUUUCAUUAUGGAACUUGGCUUGUAUAUUCCGAUGAUGGGCUUCCUCAAAUUCCUGAGGUCUUCAUGAGCAAGCAAGUUGGAUGCACACCCACUUAGUUUCAGUUGGAGCUUUCAUACACUUAUAGCUCUAGUGCAUCCGUUGCAUGGCAAUCCCAACUCACUCACAUUGAUAUAUAUUGAUGGGCAUCUCCAUAGCCCGUUGAUACGCCUAGUUGAUGUGAGACUUUCUCCUUUUUUGUAUUCUCCACAUAACCCCCACCAUCAUAUUCUAUUCCACCUAUAGUGCUAUGUCCAUGGCUCACGCUCAUGUAUUGCGUGAAAGUUGAAAAGGUUUGAGAACGUCAAAAGUAUGAAACAAUUGCUUGACUUGUCAUCGGGGUUGUGCAUGAUGUGAAUGCUUUGUGUGGUGAAGAUGGAGCAUAGCCAGACUAUAUGAUUUUGUAGGGAUGAGCUUUCUUUGGCUAUGUUAUUUCAAUAAGACAUAAUUGCUUGGUUGGUAUGCUUGAAAUAUUAUUGUCUUUAUGUCAAAGGAUAGAUUAUUGCUUUGAAUCACUCGUGUCUUAAUAUUCAUGCCAUGAUUAGACAUAUGAUCAAGAUUAUGCUAGGUAGCAUUCCACAUCAAAAAUUAUCUUUUUUAUCAUUUACCUACUCGAGGACGAGCAGGAAUUAAGCUUGGGGAUGCUGAUACGUCUCCGUCGUAUCUAUAAUUUUUGAUUGUUCCAUGCCAAUAUUAUUCAACUUUCAUAUACUUUCUGGCAACUUUUUAUAUUAUUUUUGGGACUAACAUAUUGAUCCAGUGCCAAGUGCCAGUUCCUGUCUGUUGCAUGUUUUUGGUUUCGCAGAAUAUCCAUAUCAAACGGAGUCCAAACGGGAUAAAAACGGACAGAGCUUAUUUUUGGAAAAUAUGGAAAAUUCGGAAGGAAAAUCAACGCGAACCAGUGCCCGAGGUGGUCACGAGGCAGGGGGCGCGCCCCUACCCUCGUGAGCCCACCGUAAGGUGGUUGACGCUCUUCUUUUGCCGCAAGAAAGCUAAUAUUCAGAAGAAAAAAAUCACGACGAAGGUUUCAGGCCAAUCGGAGUUAUGGAUCUCCAUAUAUAUACGAAACGGUGAAACAGAGCCAGAACAGAACGCAGAACCAGAGAGAAACAGAGAGAUAGAUCCAAUCUCGGAGGGGCUCUCGCCUCUCCCAUGCCAUGGAGGCCAAGGACCAGAGGGGAAACCCUUCUCCCAUCUAGGGAGGAGGUCAAGGAAGAAGAGGAAGAAGGGGGCCCCUCUCCCCCUCUCCUCCGGUGGCGCCGGAACGCCAUCGUGGCCAUCAUCAUCAUCACCAGGAUCUUCACCAACACCUCCGCCAUCUUCACCAACAUCUCCAUCACCUUCCCCCCUCUAUCUACAGCGGUCCACUCUCCCGCAACCCGUUGUACCCUCUACUUGAACAUGCUGCUUUAUACUUCAUAUUAUUAUCCAAUGAUGUGUUGUCAUCCUAUGAUGUCUGAGUAGAUUUUCGUUGUCCUAUCGGUGGUUGAUGAAUUGUUAUGAUUGAUUUAAUUUGCUUGUGGUUAUGUUGUUGUCCUUUGGUGCCCAUCAUAUGAGCACGCACGUGGAUCACACCAUAGGGUUAGUUGUAUGUUGAUAGGACUAUGUAUUGGAGGGCAAGAGUGACAGAAGCUUCAACCUAGCAUAGAAAUUGAUGCAUACGGGAUUGAAGGGGGACCAAUAUAUCUUAAUGCUAUGGUUGGGUUUUACCUUAAUGAACGUUAGUAGUUGCGGAUGCUUGCUAAUAGUUCCAAUCAUAAGUGCAUAGAAUUCCAAGUAAGGGAUAACAUGCUAGCAGUGGCCUCUCCCACAUAAUACUUGCUAUCGGUCUAGUAAAGUAGUCAAUUGCUUAAGGGACAAUUUCGCAACUCCUACCACCACUUUUCCACACUCGCUAUAUUUACUUUAGUUGCUUCUUUACCUUAACAGCCCCUAGUUUUAUUUUCGUGCUCUUAAUUAUCUUGCAAACCUAUCCAACAACACCUACAAAGUACUUCUAGUUUCAUACUUGUUCUAGGUAAAGCGAACGUCAAGCGUGCGUAGAGUUGUAUGGGUGGUCGAUAGAACUCGAGGGAAUAUUUGUUCUACCUUUAGCUCCUCGUUGGGUUCGACACUCUUAGUUAUCGAAAACUGUUGCGAUCCCCUAUACUUGUGGGUUAUCAUCUCUCACUAAAUUUCAAGGUAUAAGUGUUCUCCCUGAGUAUGCACCGUUGCUACAGUUCGUCGUGCUGAGACACCACAUGAUGAUCGGGUGUGAUAAGCUCUACGUUCACAUACAAUGGGUGCAAGCCAGUUUUGCACAUGCAGAAUACUCUGGUUAAACUUGACGAGCCUAGCAUAUGCAGAUAUGGCCUCGGAACACUGAGACCGAAAGGUCGAGCGUGAAUCAUAUAGUAGAUAUGAUCAACAUAGUGAUGUUCACCAUUGAAAACUACUCCAUCUCACGUGAUGAUCGGACAUAGUUUAGUUGAUAUGGCUCACAUGAUCACUUAGAUGAUUAGAGGGAUGUCUAUCUAAGUGGGAGUUCUUAAGUAAUAUGAUUAAUUGAACUUAAAUUUAUCAUGAACUUAGUCAUGAUAGUAUUUGCAUAUCUAUGUUGUAGAUCAAUUGGUCGUGUAUAGCUUCCCCAUUUUAUUUAUGAUAUGUUCCUAGAGAAACUAUGUUGAAAGAUGAUAGUAUCAAUGAUGCGGAUUGGAUCCAUGAUCUGAGGAUUAUCCUCGUUGCUGCAUAGAAGAAUUAUGUCCUUGAUGCACCGCUAGGUGACAUAACUAUUGCAGGAGCAAAUGCAGACAUUAUGAAUGUUUGACAAAGCUCGGUAUGAUAUCUACUUAAUACUUUAGUGCACCAUGCUUUACGGCUUAGAACCGGGACUUCAAAAAUGCUUUUGAACGCCACAGAGCAUAUAAGAUGUUCUAAGAGUUGAAAUUGGUAUUUCAUACUCAUGCCCGUGUCAAGAGGUAGAAGACCUCUGAUAGUACUUUGCCUACAAGAUGGAGGAGAAUAGCUCAACCAGUGAGCAUGUGCUUAGAUUGUCUGGGUACUUCAAUUGCUUGAAUCAAGUGGGAGUUAAUCUUCCAGAUAAUAUAGUAAUUGACAAAGUUCUCUAGUCACUAUCACCAAGUUACUAGAACUUAGUGAUGAACUAUAAUAUGCAAGGGAUGACGAAAGUAAUUCCCAAGCUCUUCGCGAUGCUGAAAUCGGCGAAGGUAGAAAUCAAGAAAUAGCAUCAAGUGUUGAUGGUUAACAAGACCACUAGUUUCAACAAAAGGGCAAAGGGAAAGAAAGAGGAACUUCAAAGAAGAAUAACAAGCAAGUUGUUGUUCCCAUGAAGAAGCUCAAAGCUAGACCCAAGCCUGGAACUGAGUGCUUCUACUGCAAAGGAAAUGGUCACUGGAAGUGGAACUGCCCUAGAUACUUGGCGGAUAAGAAGGAUGGUAAAGUGAAAAAAGUAUAUUUGAUAUACAUGUUAUUGAUGUGUACUUUACUAGUGUUUAUAUAAACCCCUCAGUAUUUGAUACUGGUUUAGUUACUAAGAGUAGUAACUCGAAACGAGAGUUGCAAAAUAAACAGAGACUAGUUAAGGGCGAGGUGAUGAUGUGAGUUGGAAGUGAUUCCAAGGUUGAUAAGAUCACCAUCGCACACUCCCUUUACCUUCGGGAUUAGUGUUGAGCCGAAAAUAAAUGUUAUUUGUUGUUUACAUAUAGCAUAAUAUGAUUGGAUCAUGUUUAUUGCAAUACGGUUGUUCAUUUAAGUCAAGGAUAAUUGUUAUUCUGUUUACAUGAAUAAAACCUUCUGAGGUCAUACACCCAAGGUGAAUGGUUUAUUGAAUCUCGAUCGUAGUAAUACACAUAUUCAUAAUAUUGAAGCCAAAAGAUGCAAAGUUGAUAAUGAUAGUGCAACAAUUUUUUGUGGCACUACCGUUUAGGUCAUAUUGGUGUAAAGCACAUGAAGAAACUCCGUGCUGAUGGGCCUCACUUGAUUAUGAAUCAUUUGAUGCUUGCGAACCAUGCCUCAUGGGCAAUAUGACUAAAACUCCGUUCUCCGGAACAAUGGAGCAAGCAACUGACUUAUUGGAAACAAUACAUACUGAUGUAUGCAAUCCGAUGAGUGUUGAGGCUUGCGGCGGGUAUCAUUAUUUUCUGAUCUUCAUAGAUGAUUUGAGCAGAUAUGGGUAUAUCUACUUGAUAAAACAUAAGUCUGAAACAUUUGAAAAGAUCAAAGAAUUUCAUAGUGAAGUGGAAAAUCAUCGUAACAAGGAAAUAAAGUUUCUACGAUCUGAUCGUGGAGGAGAAUAUUUGAGUUACGAGUUUGGUCUUCAUUUGAAACAAUGCGGAAUAGUUUCGCAACUCACGCCACCUGGAACACCACAGUGUAAUGGUGUGUCCGAAUGUCAUAACCGUACUUUAUUAGAUAUGGUGCGAUCUAUGAUGUCUCUGACCAAUUUAUCACUAUCGUUUUGGGGUUAUGCAUUAGAGACAGUUACAUUCAUGUUAAAUAGGACACCAUCUAAAUCCGUUGAGACGACACAAUAUGAACUGUGGUUUGGCAAGAAACCUAAGCUGUCGUUUCUUAAAGUUUGGGGCUAUGAUGCUUAUGUGAAAAAGUUUCAACCUGAUAAGCUCGAACCCAAAUCGGAGAAAUGCGUCUUCAUAGGAUACCCAAAGGAAACUGUUGGGUACACCUUCUAUCACAGAUCCGAAGGCAAGAUAUUCAUUGCUAAGAAUGGAUCCUUUCUAGAGAAGAAGUUUCUCUCGAAAGAAGUGAGUGGGAGGAAAGUAGAACUUGACGAGGUAAUUGCACCAUCUCCCUUAUUGGAAAGUAGUUCAUCACUGAAAUCAGUUCCAGUGAUUCCUACACCAUUAAGUUAGGAAGCUAAUGAUGAUGAUCAUGAAACUUCUGAUCAAGUUACUACCGAACCUCGUAGGUCACUCAGAGUAAGAUACACACCAGAGUGGUACGGUAAUCCUGUUCUGGAAGUCAUGUUACUUGACCAUGACGAACCUACGAACUAUGAGGAAGCGAUGAUGAGCCCAGGUUCUGCAAAAUGGCUUGAGGCCAUGAAAUCUGAGAUGUGAUCCAUGUAUGAGAACAAAGUAUGGACUUUGAUUGACUUGCUCGAUGAUCGGUGAGCCAUUCAGAAUAAAUGGAUCUUCAAGAGGAAGACGGACGCUGAUAGUAGUGUUACUAUCUACAAAGAUCGAAUUGUCGCAAAAGGUUUUCGACAAGUUCAAGGUGUUGACUACGAUGAGAUUUUCUCACUCGUAUCGAUGUUUAAAAGUCUGUCCGAAUCAUGUUAGCAGUUGUCGCAUUUUAUGAAAUCUGGCAAAUGGAAAUCAAAACUACAUUCCUUAAUGGAUUUAUUAAAAAAGAGUUGUAUAUGAUGCAACCAGAUGGUUUUGUCAAUUCUAAAGGUGUUAACAAAGUGUGCAAGCUCCAGCGAUCCAUCUAUGGACUGGUGCAAGCAUCUCGGCGUUGGAACAUACGCUUUGAUGAGUUGAUCAAAGCAUAUAGUUUUAUACAGACUUGCGGUGAAGCCUGUAUUUAGAAGAAAGUGAGUGGGAGCACUACAACCUUUCUGAUAAGUAUAUGUGAAUGACAUAUUGUUGAUCAGAAAUGAUGUAGAAUUUUCUGGAAAACAUAAAGGAGAAUUUGAAAGGAGUUUUUCAAAGAAAGAAUUACCUGUAAAGCUACUUACAUAUUGGGCAUCAAGAUCUAUAAAGAUAGAUCAAGACGCUUGAUAAGACUUUCAAUGAGUACAUACCUUGAUAAUAUUUUGAAGGAGUUCAAAAUGGAUAAGUUAAAGAAGGAGUUCUUGCCUGAGUUGUAAGGUGUGAAAUUGAGUAAAGACUCAAAACCCGACCACGGCAGAAAAUAGAAAGAGAAUGAAAAGUCAUUCCCUAUGCCUCAGUCAUAGGUUCUAUAAAGUAUGCUAUGCUAUGUACCAAACCUAUUAUAUACCUUAGCAUAAUUUUGGCAAGGGAGUACAAUAGUGAUCUAGGAGUAGAUCACUAGACAACGGUCAAAAUUAUCCUUAGAGGACUAAGGAAUAUUUCUCUGAUAUGGAGGUGAUAAAAGAGUUCGUCGUAAAGAGUUACGUCGAUGCAAGAUUUUUACAUCGAUCUAGAUGACUCUAAGUCUCGAUCUGGAUACAUAUUGAAAGUGGGAGCAAUUAGCUAGAGUAGAUCCGUGCAGAGUAUUAUAGACAUAGAAAUUUGUGAAAUACAUAUGGAUCUGAAUGUUGCAGACCCGUAGACUAAACUUCUCUCACAAGCAAAACAUGAUCACUCUUUGGGUAUUAAUCACAUAGAGAUGUGAACUAGAUUAUUGACUCUAGUAAACCCUUUGGGUAUUAGUCACAUGAAGAUGUGAACUAAUCACAUAAAGAUGUGAAUUAUUGGUGUGAAAUCACAUGACGAUAUGAACUAGAUUAUUGACUCCAGUGCAAGUGGGAGACUGAAGGAAAUAGGCCCUAGAGGCAAUAAUAAAGUUGUUAUUUAUAUUUCCUUAUAUCAUGAUAAAUUUUUAUUAUUCAUGCUAGAAUUGUAUUAACCGGAAACUCAGUACAUGUGUGAAUACAUAGACAAACUGAGUGUCACUAGUAUGCCUCUACUUGACUAGCUCAUUAAUCAAAGAUGGUUAAGUUUCCUAGCCAUGGACAAAGAGUUGUCAUUUGAUUAAUGGGAGCACAUCAUUAGAGAAUGAUGUGAUUGACUUGACCCAUCCGUUAGCUUAGCAUGAUGAUCGUUUAGUUUGUUGCUAUUCCUUUCUUCAUAUAACUUAUACAUGUUCCUAUGACUAUGAGAUUAUGCAACUCCCGAAUACCGGAGGAACACUUAGUGUGCUAUCAAACAUCACAACGUAACUGGGUGAUUAUAAAUAUGCUCCAUAGGUGUCUCCGAUGGUGUCUGUUGAUUUGGCAUAGAUCGAGAUUAGGAUUUGUCACUCCGAUUAUCGAAGAGGUAUCUCUGGGCCCUCUCGGUAGUGCUCAUCACUAUAAGCCUUGCAAGCAAUGUGACUAUAAAGAGUUAGUUACGGGAUGAUGCAUUACAGAACGAGUAAUGAGACUUGCCGGUAAUGAGAUUGAACUAGGUAUUGAGAUACCGCCGAUUGAAUCUCGGGCAAGUAACAUACCGAUGACAAAGGGAACAAUGUAUAUCGUUAUGCGGUUUGACCGAGAAAGAUCUUCGUAGAAUAUGUGGGAGAUAAUAUGAACAUCCAGGUUCCGCUAUUGGUUAUUGACCAGAGACGUGUGUCGGUCAUGUCUACAUAGUUCUCGAACCCGUAGGGUCCGCACGCUUAACGUUCAGUGACGAUUGGUAUUAUGAGUUUAUGUGUCUUGAUGUACCGAAGGUAGUUCGGUGUCCCGGAUGUGAUCAUGGACAUGAUGAGGAGUUUUGAAAUGGUCGAGACAUAAAGAUUGAUAUAUUGGAUGAAUAUAUUCGGACACCGGAUGAGUUCCGGGGGUCACCGGAUAAUUAUCGGAGUGCCGGGGGGUUAUCAGAACCCCCCGGGGAACUAAUGGGCCAACAUGGGCCUUGUGUGUGAGAAAGGAGGGGCCAUAGUGCUGGCCGUGUGCCCCCUCCUUGGGAGUCCGAAUUGGACAAGGAGGGGGGGGGGCCCUCUUUCCCUCACUCUCUCCUUCUCCUUCCUCCCCCUCCCUCCUCCUAGUUGGACUAGGAAAGGGGGAGUCCUACUCCUACUAGGAGGAGGACUCCCCCCCCUCGUUGGCGCGCCCCAUGGCCGGCCUCCCCCUUGCUCCUUUAUAUACGAGGGCAGGGGGCACCCUAGAACACACAAGUUGAUCGUUGAUCCCUUAGCCGUGUGCAGUGCCCCCUCCACCAUAAUCCACCUCGGUCAUAUCAUCGUAGUGCUUAGGCAAAGCCCUGCGAUGGUAGCUUCAUCAGCACCGUCAUCACGCCGUGGUACUGACGAAGCUCUCCCUCGACACUCGGCUGGAUCGAGAGUUUGUGGGAUGUCACUGAGCCAAAAGUGUGCAGAUUGCGGAGGUGCCAUACUUUCGGUACUAGGAUCAGUCGGAUCGUGAAGACAUAUGACUACAUCAACCGCGUUGUCAUAAUGCUUCCGCUUACGGUCUACGAGGGUAUGUGGACAACACUCUUCCCCUCUCGUUGCUAUGUAUCACCAUGAUAGAUCUUGCAUGUGCGUAGGAUUUUUUUGAAAUUACUGCGUUCCCCAAUAGGGUGUGCUAGUCUCCUUUGUGUACCCAAAUUAUGCAAUGACGCGGAUGACCACUGUAACCAGGGAAAUUCGAACCAAAAUUUUUGACGUUCAAACUCAUCACACAUGGGUUAAGCUAUCUGAAUCGUUUGUGAUGUUCAUAUAUCGUACACAGUUCUGAAUAAUGGACCGCGUCUGAUGACACUUUGCACGCUAGUUUUUUCACUGAAGCGAUUCCAAAAUUUCGGCUUCCGCGGAAAUAUCUACCUCCCCGCCCCUCCCCCUUGCCAAAAGCCACAUUUCCCCUGUUUCCGCCUUCCUUUACAAGUUGAAACCUUCACUCCUUGCUUGCAGCACCGCCUCCUCGCUGGUGACCCUCCUUCACGCUACUCAGCCUCGCCUAUCCGGGCAGGUAAACCACACCCGACCCCAUCUUCCUCCUCCUUCCACAUCCCACUUGCCCCGACCACCGGCGCGACACCUUCCACCCAAAUCACCAACCCCUCCACCAAAUAAGUGCCGCCCUAAGCCAUGGUGCGCAUAAUAUAUCCAGGAUCUCAAGGAGCAUUUGGCAGCGGAGAAGUAAAUCAUGGCCGCACACGCGGAUGAGGUCGCGAUGGCUUCCAUUCGUGUCGACCCCCAGAUCUUGGAGGAGCACUUCACCGUUGAUGCCACCAUCGACGCCUUGCAUGUCGAUGACGCAGCGCGGUUGGCUGUUUGGUUCAAUUCUACAAUGUGAUGUUCAAUUAUUAUGGGUGCAUUCUGUUAUUGUAUACCAUGUGAGAAAUAAAUUGAAUUUGGCUGUACUAAAUACAUGAUAAACAAAUACAAUUGCUAUAUUUCCAAGUUGUUAAGCAUGCUUGGUUUGAUUAAUUGUCUAAUCUUCUAUUAUGAGUAUGUUAUAUUGUGCAAUGUGGUGCUCAGUUAACGUUUGGUUCAUUUGUUGUGGUGUUUAACUGUUUUGUUUGGUUCAAUUCUGCAGUGCAUGCGAUGCUCAAUUGUUAUGGGUGCAUUUUAUUAUUGUAUACCAUGCGAGGAAUAAAUUGAAUUUGGCUGUACUAAAUACAUGAGAAACAAAUACAAUUGCUAUAUUUCCAAGUUGUUAAGCGUGCUUGGUUUGGUUAAUUGUCUGAUCUUCUAUUAGGAGUAUGUUAUAUUGUGCAAUGUGGUGCUCAGUUAAUGUUUGGUUCAUUUGUUGUGGUGUUUAGUUAACUGCUUGGUUCAAUUCUGCAAUGCAGUGUCCAAUUGUCGUGGGUAGAAUUUUGUAUUGUUGUGCAAGUGAGGAAUAAAUCGAAUUUGGCUGCACUUAAUACAUGAGAAACAUAUACAAGUGCUAUAUUUCCUAGUUCUUAAUCAUGCUUGGUUUGGAUAAAUGGGUUUUCCAUGUGGCUUGAAUUAAUCUAAUGAAUUUGCAAUGUUCUUAUUUUUCAUCAACAUGUUUUAUUGAUAGCAUGUGAACCCUUACUUAAGCUGAUGACUAACUACCUUAUAUGCGUUGUAGGGAAACAAUGGGGAGCACUGAGGUUUACAAUCGAGGUUAGCACGUGCAUGGUCCGUUGUCUAAUAGCACAUUAUUGUGCAAUUGCAGGAACCUUUCUAAUAUUUAGUUUUUUAACAAUUUGGUCUUGCACAUGUAGGUCCUGCUGUCAGAGGUUUUGACCCACUGUUCGACCCCUUUUGCAUAUGGGUAAAUGAGUUGUACAUCAAUAUUAGUCAAGUCAAGAAACUUAGAGAGGUUGUUAGGAUAAAGAAAUUAGCGACAAAAAACAACAAGAUCUUUGUCUGCACAAUGAAGAAGACAUCAGUUCACUACAGGAUGGUACUAACUAUUAUACCUUGCCUUUUUAUUCCUUUGCCCCAUUUCCAAUAUAGAGAAGAUAUUUAUGCACAUCCUUGUUUUCAAGCCUUUCCAAAGCAGUUCACUAAUGAUUACCUCUCAAACCACCUGUAUGGUCAGGAGGCGAGGAAGGUAUUCAUACAACACCCACAGUUCAAUAUUGAAGUGUUCCUGAAGAGGACGGAGGAUCGACGGUCAAUCAUCCACAUGCACUGGCUUAAAGUUACAAAGACCUUCAACAUCAAUGAAGGCUCAAUAUUCGCCUUCUGCUUCAGCAGUUUUCCAGAUGAGAUACAUCUGUCUAUGUACCAUCUAUGAUGCUAAUUUCGAAAGGUUAUAGAUGUUGCACGUGAAACUUGGUGCUGGUGUAGUUGUGUAAUGGGGUAGCUGAGUCCUGAAGCUAUAUGAUGUUGUACUCUGAUGUAUUUCAAUUAUGAAAAUGAAAUAUAUUGUGUGCUUAAUAUGAAAUGUCAAUUAGAUUAAUAAAUGGAUUAUUAAUAAUCAGAUAAUUAGCCUGCUAAUUGGGUUUUUCUAUUGCAAACAAUUAUUGAGAAAACACCAUGUGUGAUGCAUUCAAUAACGCACACAAUUUCUAGGAGUAAACCGUGUUGGAUCAAUGAAUAAUCACACACGACCUUCUCUUGAAAACUGUUUGCAUUAGGCCACCUUGCGCAAACGUUUACGACAUAAAAACUGUGUGUGAUGGACAACCUUUGCCACACAGUUUUUUCUACGCACCAUGUGUGAUGCAUUCAAUAACGCAAAUGAUAAAAUUGUCAAUAUCGUGUGCAAUGGCAACACUAUCACAAACGAUUUAAAGAGGAAAAUUGUAUGUGAUGUACCUGUGAACGGAAACGUUUUCCUUGAAGCGACUAUGUGGGAUGUACAUACAAACAGAAACGUUUAGCGGGAAUUGACUGUGUGGGAUGUACUUGCGAUCAAAAACAAUUUCGCCUGUAUAAUUGUAUUUUUUUAGCUCUAUUGUACGUAUUUCCGUACUUGAGCGCUCGCCGGUCGCACACGAACUCAUUUUGCCGAGCAUGUGUGCCAGGAGGGCAUAUACCCGAUGGUUUUUGGGUCGUGUGGGAAGGACCCCCCUAUCGCCGUCACUUACUAGGUAACGGUUCCAAAUGCCGUCGCGGAAAGGGGUUAAAAACCGUUUGUAUAGCACCUCGCUGUACUAGUGACUAGUAAUGAGACUUCUCCCACGUCCUCAAGAACAAGUAGAACUACUCACAACUCAUCAUAUUGAUCAUGAUCAAUGGUUAUAAAUAUAUGUUUAACAAUCUUAACAUAACAAUAUUCCACCAUUUAAACCAACUAGCAUCAACUACGAGAUGUAAUCAACACUACUAGCACCCCCAGGUACCAAUCUGAGGUUUGAUACAAAGAUUAAGAAUGAAAGAUGAACUAGAGUUUUGAGAUGAGAUGGUGAUGAUGAAGAUGAUGAUCCCAUGAUGAAAGGAGUGUUGGUGAUGAUGAAGGCUUCGAUUUCCCCUUCCCGGAGGAAAGUUUCCCCUGCAAAAUUGCUCCAUCGAAGAGCAAAAGUGUGUCGCCUCGCAGAUGGCGGCGGAAAGUCCUCAGAAUUUUGUUUGAUUUCGUCAAGGGUAAAUGGAAUUGAUGGCCAAAGGGCAUCGGGAGGCGAGGCACCAUGGCCCCAAAUGGGCAGGGGUGCAGCUAGGGGGUAGGCCGCGCCACCUGUCCAUGUGGCUGCCUAGUGGGUCCCUAAUAACCCACAAGUAUAGGGGAUCGCGACAGUUUUUGAGGGUAGAGUAUUCAACCCAAAUUUAUUGAUUCGACACAAGGGGAGCCAAAGAAUAUUUGUAGGUAUUAGCAGUUGAGUUGUCAAUUCAACCACACCUGAAAGACAUAAUAUCCGCAGCAAAAAAAUUAGUAGCAAAGUAGUAUGAUAGUAACGGUAACAAUGGCAAUAGUAGCAGUAGCAGUUUUGUAGUGAUUGUAGGAGUAGCAGCAAUGAAAGUAACUUAGCAAAGAUCAAUAUGUGAAAAGCUCGUAGGCAUUGGAUCAGCGAUGGAUAAUUGUGUUGGAUAAUAUUCAUGAUGUAGCAGUCAUAACCUAGGGCAACACAGAACUAGCUCCAACUCAUCAAUGUAAUGUAAGCAUGUAUUCCGUAUAUAGUCAUACGUGCUUAUGGAAACAAACUUGCAUGACAUCUUUUGUCCUACCCUCUGAUGACCCACAAGUAUAGGGGAUCAAUUGUAUAUCUUUUCGAUAAGUAAGAGUGUUGAACCCAAUGAGGAGCAGAAGGAAAUGACAAGUGGUUUUCCGUAAGGUAAUGUCUGCAAGUGUUGAAAUUGUAAGUAGCAGAGUAGUUUGAUAGCAAGGUAAUUUGUAACGAGCAAGUAACGAUAGUAGUAACAAAAUUGCAGCAAGGUAGCCCAAUCCUUUUGAGGCAAAGGACAGGCCAAAAUGGUCUCUUAUGAUAAGCAAAGCAUUCUUAAGGGUACACGGGAAUUUCAUCUAGCCACUUUCAUCAUGUUAGCUUAAUUCGUGUUUGGUACUUUGAUAAUUUGAUAUAUGGGUGGACCGGUGCUUAGGUGAUGUUCUUACUUGAACAAACCUCCUACUUAUGAUUAACCCUCCCGCAAGCGUCCGCAACUACGAGAAAAGUAUUAAGAAUAAAUUCUAACCAUAGCAUUAAACUUUAUGUUCAGGCCAAUAGAUGCGCUCGGGCUGAAGAAGGGAGGAAGUACCCCGGCAAAUAUGCCGGCGUGGAAACUGAUUCCACAGAGGAAGAUGCCGUCGCCCCAGCAAAGAAGGGCCGACGCUACAAUAGGAAGCGUAAGGGCAAGACCGUGCUUGCCGUCGAGGGAUCCAGCGACCCCGGCGCCGCUAAGAAGGCCAAGGUUGAUGACUCCAACAAAGAAGUUGCUGGGUGCGCCGCCUGCCGAGCCUUGGCGGCUGCCGACAAGCUGGGAGGCUCCGACAAGCAGUACUGCAAGAUCCACUGCACCAAGGGCCAUGACCUCCAGAAUUGUCGGUAGGUUGAGCUGCUUGCAGAGAAGCAGAAAGCUGAGUAUGAGAGGCGCGAUAAGGAGAAGGGCCAAGAUGGUGCUGAGGCGUCCGGCAAGAAGCGUGGCGGUCGAGGAGGUCACCGCGACAAAGACAAUCAACAAGAGAGGCCCACUCGGGGCCACAACAAGAAGGAGGGAGACGAUGAUCAUGAUGAGGACGACGAGUCCGGCGAGCAUGAGUUCCAAAAAGCUACGAAGGCCAUGUGCGUCGACGGUGGCGCCUCAUUGCACACCUCUCACCGCCAACUGAAGCAGUGGGCGCAUGAAGUCACUGCAGAGGAGCCAUCGUUCGAUGCCUAGAGGUUGCUAAAGUGGUCCAACACGCCUAUCAUUUUUGACACCGAGGAUCACCCUGAUCGCACAACUGCGGUUGGGUAUUUGCUGUUGUUGGUUUCACCAACAAUAUGCAACCUCAAGGUGACGAAAGUGCUAGUUGACAGUGGGGCCGGUCUGAACUUGAUCUCGCCCGCCGUGAUCGAGAGGCUGCAAAUCCUCGAUGGAGAUCUCUAGGAGACGGAAGCGUCCCAAGGGGUCAACCCAGGGAGGAGUCAGUCGAAGGGUAAGAUCACAUUGCCCGUUACAUUUGGGGGCGAGUUGAACCAUAGGACGGAGAAGGUUGUUUUUUAUGUUGCCAAGAUCCCCUUGCCCUAUAAUGGGAUCCACGGCCGCCCAGCGCUGGCCAAGUUUAUGGCGGCAUCACAUUACGCCUACAACACGUCGAAAAUGCCCGAGCCAAUGAGCAUCAUCAUCGUCCCCUCCGCUAGGAAAGAUGCGCUCAUCUGCGCCGGCCAGCUUUACCGGGAGGCAGUUGCAGCGGCUGCCGCCAAGGCACCUGUUCCCGCCACUGAGACCCUGGGAGGGAAGAAAACCGGCAAGAUCUCUACUCCUGCCGGCAAGGCCCCUUUCGGCAAGACUGCUGACCCCAGCAAGGACUCCUACGCCCCCUCCCGCAAACACGCCUCUUCGGAGUGCCGUGUUCCCAUUGAGGACAUGCCAGGAAGUUCAGCUAGCGGGAGUAAGAGGUCCAAGGCAGCCCCACCAGAAACCAAGAAGGUUCCCGUCAGAGAGGAUGGCACGGGUGGAGCUUUUACCAUAAGCUCCACCCUUGAAAGCAAAUAGGAAAGUGUGUUCAUCACCUUCCUGCGGGUGAAUAUUGACGUGUUUGCACGACAAGCAUCCGACAUCCCCGGCGUUCCCAGGGAGGUGAUUGAGCACCACCUUGUUGUCUGUCCCCAUGUGUGGCCUGUCAAGCAGAAGGUCAGGAAGCAAGCUUUGGAGCGACAAUGGUUCAUCAUCGAGGAGAUCAGGAAGUUGGAGGCAACAAGCUUGGUCAGAGGAGUUCUCCACCCCACGUGGUUGGCCAAUCCAGUGAUGGUGCAUAAGGCAAAUGGGAAAUGGAGGCUGUGUAUUGACUAUACAGAUAUCAAUAAAGCAUGUCCAAAGGAUCCUUUCCCUCUACCACACAUUGACCAGAUAGUGGACUCCACUGCCGGGUGCGACCUGCUGUCGUUCCUUGAUGCCUACUCAGGAUACCACCAGAUCUUCAUGAUGAAGGAAGACAAAGAAAAAACUGCGUUCAUCACCCAAUGUGGCACGUACUAUUUUGUGCGGAUGCCUUUCGGGUUGAAAAGCGCCGGUUCGACAUUUGCCCGAGCAGUCCAAAUUGGUUUCGAGCCCCAGCUGCAUUGAAAUAUGGAAGCUUAUAUGGAUGAUAUAGUGGUCAAAACCAAGGACAAGGCCACGCUCAUGCAGGAUCUGGAAGAAACAUUUGCAAACCUGCGCAAGAUCAACCUCAAGCUCAACCCAGAGAAGUGUGUGUUCUGCGUCCCAUCCGGCAAACUUCUUGGGUUCUUUGUGUCUCAACGCGGAAUCGAAGCAAAUCCUGACAAGAUCAAAGUGAUUGAGAAAAUUGAGGUGCCAAGACGGGUCAAAGACGUCCGUAGAGUUGUCGGCUGCAUUGCUGCUCUAAGUAGGUUCAUCUCGAAAUCUGCUGAGCGCGCCCUCCCCUUUUUCAAAGUUUUGAAAAAGGUAGGUCCAAUGAAAUGGACUCCGGACACUACAAAAAAAAGACACACCGUGACAUUUUGGGCCGAACGAAAAUUUUUCUGUCAUACAUAUGACACUUCUAUGACGAUAACUAUGACAAAACCCAGUAUCAUCAUAGAUGUGGUGGGCUCCUACUUCUAUGACAAAAAAUCAUGACAAAAAAUGGGCUUUUCGUCCUGGGCGGGCCGGAGACGCAGCUGCAUGACAUUCUUUGGGCCGUCCAUGACGGAAAAAACCGUGGUAGAAGUGAGGGGGAGGAAAAUUUCGGGGAGUUCUCGGUUACGGUGGGAGGUCGGGGGCCGAGCGAUGCGCGUUUCUCUUGUACACGUACGCGCGUGUGUGCGAGGCAUUGGCUCUAACUGAACCCGAGCGAGGCGUUGGGCUCUAACUGAACCCGAGCGAUUGCACUGUAGGCUACGCAUUACUGAACCCGAGCGAUCGAUGGCUGUUAACUGAACCCGAUCGAGCGAUUCCUUCGCUAUUGCUGCUAACUGAAGCCGAUCGAUGGGAUGAACAGUGAGCGUUGUGGGGGGGUUUGGAUGAACAGUGAGCAGUCGCGUUGCCUCUGGAUGAACAAGACCCCAUGGUGUGGUGGAGGGCUGGAUAAACAGUAGACGGUGGAGGGGUGCCCGUGGAGGGGUGGAUGAACAGGACCCCGUGGUGUGGAGGGCUGGAUGAACAGUAGACGGUGGAGGGGUGGUUGAACAGGACCUCAUGGUGUGGAGGGCUAGAUGAACAGUAAACGGUGGAGGGGUGGUUGAACAGUAGCCGGUGGAGUAGCACGCGGUGGAGGCUAGAUGAACAGGAGCUCGUGGAGGCUGGAGGAGGUCGACGGUGGAGAUGAACAGUAUCCCGUGGAGUCCCGUUUUGCGGUAUGCCACACCCCUCCCGAUGAACAGGACCCUCGUUUCGACCGUAGCGCUCCAACACAAAUCUGUUUCGUCCGUUUUGCGGUAUGCCACACCCCUCCCGAUCAACAGGACCCCCGUUUCGACCGUAGGAGGUCCGUUUCCUCCGUUUUGCGGUACGCCAGACCCCUCCCGAUGAACAGGAUCCCGUUUCGAACAUGGCCGGUCGAACACAAGGCCGUUUCCUCCGUUUUGCGGUACACCAGGCCUCGUUUCCAUCACCUGUUCUGUCCAAGCCCUCCCGAGGAACACGACUACGCAUUCCGUUCCGACCCAGCCGGUUGGCUCCCACGCGUUCCAUUGCCUCCCCAUGAACACGACGCAUACCAUUGCCUCCCCAUGAACACGACGCAUUCCGUUGCCUCCCCAUGAACACGACGCAUUCCGUUGCCUCCCCAUGAACAUGACGACGACGCUGUUUCUUCGUUCCACCCAGCCAUGUACACGAGCCCUGGCCGUACAUAUGCGCAAGUAGGCGUUCGAGACCCCGCCCGUAUGUACACAUAUGUGACCGUAUUUUCUUUCUUGCACCAUGGCCGCUAUACGUACGUGUACAUGCUACGUGCGCGCCUCUACUACGACACGUGCGCGCCUCUACAUCGACCAGUAUGUACGUACAUGUUCGCGACCAGAAUGACAACGCUAUGCACACUUCGACCAGGUGGGUCCCGACUGUCAGGCACUUCCUUGCCUACGAAGAUGUAGCUGGUGGGUCCCAGCAGUCAGGGGGCGAAUCAUUUUGUUUUUUGCCCAGACGCACUUCCUUGCGUGCGAAGAUGUAGCUGGUGGGUCCCAGCAGUCGGGGUCCUGGUGGGUCCCAACAGUCAGGGGGGCGAAUCAUUUUUUUCGGACGCACUUCCUCGCGUGCGAAGAUGUAGCUCAUGGGUCCCAGCAGUCAGGGGGCGAAUCAUUUUUUCGCGAAAUACGGUGGCCCGUCUAGUGGGUCCCCGCUGUCAGGUGGAGGAAUAAUUAUUUUGCGCAUUAUAAGGAGGCACUUCCUUGCGGCUGCCGUGGACCCAGCUGUCAACCUCUCCACGUACAGUACUCUUCCGAUGGAAGUCGGUCAUUGACCACGUUGACCAUGCCGCGCCGAGAGCACCAGGGCGGUGGUCUGGACGACGGCGAGGCCUAGGAAGGGGAUGACGCGGAGCCAGGGAAGACGCAGCAGUGGAAGCCCGCGCGGAGAGGAUUACGAGGGUUCACUGGUUCGGUGUGGUGUGAGGCUGCCGUCGCCGCAGAAUAACAGGGGGUGUGGGUGAGUAGAGGGAUGGCCUGGCCAGCGGUGGGAGUAGUACGUGGCAGUGAGGCCUCCGCGGCAUCACAGCCGGCCACGGGAGGCAGGAGCACACGACACGACCGGCGCUGCUUUGGGCGGCUGGAGCAAGAAGACCAGUGGUUGAAGAAUCACUACGGCCGUUGGAUGGACAUCAUACGAUCACUGCAGCUAGAAUCGUUUAUAUUGACUAAGUUGACAAAGCCCUUGGUACGCCUUAACUUAGUAGGCACACAGCUCGGAUUUGGCAGAGAACAUAUAGCCCAUUUGCGAUUUGUAAGAAUGUACAGCCCAUUUUUUAAUUCUAAUGGAAUUUACUACAUCCCAUUUACAGUUUGUUAAAAGUACAGCCCAACUUCUAGCUAGGACAAUGAUUAAUAAUUUCAAACAACCGCUCAAAAUAGAAUUCAAAAACAAUUCCCACAUUUUGAUGGGAUCCGAAAUAUUUGUAUCCGAAAUUUCUAGUCAGCUUAAAUAUAAUUUUAAAAUAAAGUUGUAUUACGUUAAAAUCCAAUGAAAUAUUGCGCGCGCAACAAGUAAUGAAAUUAAAAUUUUCAAAUUCCAAAAAUAAUAUAUUUUUCAAACUAAUUACGUGUUUGGUGCAUAGUAAUUGUCCAGUUAUUAUAAUUACAUCUCAUUUAUUAUUUCUUAAAUUCCAUUUUUUUGGUAAGCCUAAUGCAUACCUCCUAGAAAAGUUUGCAGCCCAGCGGGGCGGAGAAUAACAAGUUGACCCGGAUAUUGUGUACAACUGUCGGCCCAGUUGCAUUGCUGAUGUUGAAAAAAAGUUAAUUUUUAUGCACACAUUAAAAAAAUGUAUAGAUAAGGAACAUUUUUUAUACACACAUUUAACAAUUUUUAAAUACAUGAUUAACACUUUUUAAAACAUAUUUUUUUGUCAACAGUGGGCCCACAGCGAGCGGAGGAGGUCACAAUACACAUAUUUUUUAAAUACAUGAUUAACAUGUUUGCAAAAACAAUUAGCCCACAAUGAGCCAAUUAGCUCCAGUCAGCCCAGAGUGGCCCGACAGGGGCCAGUCGGCCAGCUGUAGGCCGACUGGAAUCCAGUCGGCCUGCUCUGGGCCGACUAGGCCCAUUCGGCCUGCAACGGGCGGACAGUGUAUUAUUUUUGAAAAAAAUUUACCCAGCGUAAUAUUUAUGAAAGUUAAUAAAAAAUGUAUUAUUUAAGAAAAAAUAGCGAAAAAAGCCUGUGUAGUACAGUACAGCCUAACAUGGUUACUCAGCCCACAUUCAGCGACGCCGGAAAGGCCCAAACAAGGCUUUUGUACAACUUUUUGAAGUCACUGAGCUCAAUUAAUAACUUAAGAAAAAAGUUAGAUUACAGUGGAACCUAAUUAAAAGCUGUCACGAGCAAAUAAAUAAUUCAACGGAUCCCACUUGUGCGUGUGCAUGCACGUGCGCGCGCGCGCGCGUGUGUGAGAGAGAGAGAGAGAUAGAGAGAGAGACCCAUCGGUCGAUGCUCGUAAAUACAUCUUUCAGCCAUAUGCGUUGCUGAUGCUCACUAAAAACUUAUAUAGUUGAGACAAUCAUAUAGAAUACCAUAACACACUGAACUUGCAUACAAAAAUUUCACGCAGGCGGCACAAUCAGGAUGGAAGCAGUGGAUCGCUACGAGAAGGGCUAUGUUGAAACCAAUGAAGUCGUACAUAACGGUUCAUCGUCUUUAUCAAUGACGGGGAAAUAUCUUGAAUGUUGUGCAAAGAAAAUAGACAGACAACACAAUAAGUUCUCCUAGCACAUUAAGUUGACGUAUAACCCUUUCUAAAAAAAGUUCAGGUACAAAAUUAGAACAAGUCACAAUCAAAUGUACUGGCAUAUCAGUGCUUCACACCCAUAGCUUGGAUUUAACUAGUAUCUGACAAGAUUCAGUUGUUACCUCAAAUUAGAGCACAUCCAGGCAGCCAGCCCUGCCUCUUCUCCCAAAGAAGUAGUGGCCUCCGCCGCGCGGUGGAGUAGGCCUUAUGCCAUCCAUCAUUCCGAGCAACACGGGGAAAGUCUGACGUUGACUCCUGUAAUGGACGUCGUCGAUGGACCCUGGCACCAGCGGUGGCGGCAGGACUUUGAUUGAUGGAUUGACCAUUUCUUCGACAUGCACGAACACUCGAUACAGGUACAUCCCUAACAUGGUCCGCGGCAGCCUUGGUGGCGACGAAUAGUACAACCCCGGUUCCUGCACCGGUAUCUCAACACCAAUCACCUUCGGUAUGGUGGACGACUUCUUCAUACAUGCCAUAACCGUCAGAGCCCAGCUGUCUGGAGGAACAAACAUACUUACGAGCUCACCUCCAAGGUCGUUGAUAAGCUCGUUCAUGGACUCGCUAUUCCAAGCACAUCGAGGCAUGCCGUGGAAGGUAAGCUUUGUCAAAAACUCAAGCUCAGAGGGCACCGAGCCCCAUCCUGGGUGCCACCGAUCAAAGCUCACCAGCGCGCCAUCGCAGAACAAACGCCGGGAAGAUUCGAACACACGACUGCAGUCGAAAGUUGUCCGGAACCUAACGAAGAAAUCAGCCGGUGGCGGACAAACUUCAACGAACAAGUCACUUAUUUGGAUGCCGCGUGCAAUGCCAAGAGCUUUGACAAGGUUAUCCGGCGAGAAGGGAGGCCGGUCGCCGUUGAUGGUUACCAUCAGCACUUUGCCGGCAAACUGGUCGUCAAGCGCCGCCAUGCCACUGUUGAGCGACAGCAUGCAGCGACCGAAGGCGGGACGGACCUCAGGAUCUCCGGCUCGGAGAUCCGCGUUGACCGACGACAUGAUAGUGCGCUUGAGUACAGGGAGUACAAGAGGGGGAUUUUGGGGAACUGGAGUAGGAAUCGAGAUUCCAGAGGUGGGGGAGGGUCGGGAGACUCUGGAUGAAAAGGUAGGACGAAUUUCGAGCACGCGCCAAUAUGCUCUCGGCACGCAAGCGCACGAAAACACCAGUGGCGCCCACAUGUCGGCCUAAGAGUCCUUAUUCAUUCUUUUUUGGAGAGCCCGGCCUUUUUUUCAGGAUCUUUUGAGAGCCCGGUCUGAGAGUCAUAAUUGACCUGUUUGGCAUUGCGUUACUACUCGGCCCAUAUUCAACGACACCUCACUGGCCCAAACAAGUGUACAUCAUCGAAAAGACAUUGAGCUCAAAUUAUAUAACUUGAGAAAAGGAGAUAUACUCUGAACACUGGAGAAUGGUGAUGCCCUCAUUUAGCCCACCACUAGUUCGAGACAAUAAACAGUUCGAAACAACAAUAUAUACAACAUUCAAACACUGACUAGUGACUACUACUGACAUAAACAGCAAGACAUGAUAGUUCAUAAGAAGUCUUGCUACACCACCAAAACGCACCCAUCUGCAGCGCUCAGAUUCUCGUGAUCCAGGCGAGAAUGACAUUCUAAAAAGAAGCAACUAUUACAUAGUAAGAGUGACAUAGACGAGGAUGACCAAAUGACAAGGAAUAUGCAUAACAAAAGAAAGAACUACCCAUCCAGAAAUGGAGGGGCGCCUUUAUAUGAGGGCAAUGAGGGCAAACUGCUUUGCAUUCACAUCGUGCAGCCUCUUUUCCCGGACCUCCUCCCAUUACUUCCCUCAUGCAUUAAUUGAAGAAGGAUGCAUUGGCCGUUCAACAUAUCGGGAACUGCUACUCCCUCCCUCAUCUGCAUUAAAGUCGUAUCGGGAAAUGCGCCGCCCGCUGUCAAAUCGAGUACUCCCUCCGUCUAGGUGAGUACUCCCUCCUUUCCGGUUUAUAAGGCUCAAUUCAAAAAUCUCAUCAACCAAGGUAGAUGAUGAGUGGUGGAAUAUUUUUUGUAGUUUGCAAAAGCACCCAAUAAAUGCUCUUGUUUUCCUCAAAAAAUUAUGUUUACGAAUGCAUUAAUUGCAAUGCAUGCAUGCAUAAAGUGCAUGCAUUGGUCAGUUUUCUCUUAAUACUUGCAUGCAAUGACUUAAUGCACCUUGAAGUAUGAACAUGUGAUGGGGAACAACCAAAUUGAGCCUUAUAAAAUGGAAAAACUAAAAUUUUGAGAUAAGCCCUAUAAACCGGAAAGGAGGGAGUAUUAAGUCAUCUUACGAAAACCAAAUAGUAAACACAUAGGCGUGGUGCAUUAACUCUCACAUUGUUUCUUAUUUUUUGACAUAAAUAGAGGAAUCAACCAAGAAGAUAUGUGGGGCUUGUAUGCUUUUAAUGACUUGAGACUAUCAAACAUGACAUGCAGUGGUCAGUUCAUUGCACAAAACAAAUACAACCCACGUCAGCACACACACACAUCUUAUAUAGCUUCACAUCCAAUGGCUAUAAAAGAUGAAUGCGACCAAAUUAUAUCUCAUCUAGAUGAGUUCUAGCAAAACUGUAUUAAUAAUACUUAGUACUCCUGCGCCAUGUAUCAUAUAUUAGUAUCAUGUAGUACUUUAUUUAUUUAUGAGGUAUCCAGAUGGCACUGCACUGCCAAGAAAAGAGGGUAACAUCAAAAUUAUGGACUACUUUUUUGAGUAUGUUGGUAAGGUCCGGUCAUAGUCACUUGUUGAAAUCUCUAAAAAGACAAAUACUCCCUCCGUCCGGAAAUACUUGUCAUCAAAAUGGAUAAAAGGAAAUGUAUCUAGAUGUAUUUUAGUUUUAGAUACAUCUCUUUUUAUCCAUUUUGAUGACAAGUAUUUUCGGACGGAGGGAGUAGAAAACAGAGUUGGUGAUGAUGGUGUGUGUGCCAUCCUGCAAUAUAGGCCGUCCGAUUUAUAUCUAAUGGAUAGGAAAGAAACUAUGGCAAUUUUGCAAAAAUAUACCCACACGUCUCUCCACGUUCGCAAAUAAGACCUUCCCUCAUUCAACCUUUUCUCUCACAAGAUAAACUACUCAUACAAAUGCAUCUUGAUGUUCCGUGCAACACACGGGCAGCUAGCUUAUUUCUUUUAAAAUAGUUGCUGCGAUAAUUGGGUUGAAGUGAUAUAUUUUAUGUCUGCCCCGUAUGAUUUCAGAUUCACUAGUAGUAACAAAGAAAAGGUUGCCUUGUUAAUUAACAGAAAACAGGGUGAAAACUAUCACAUGAGGCCGGUAAAAACAAGGCACACUGGGUUCAGCGUCAUCGUCACUACAACUAUGCGCGCGCGAGAAGUCUACAUAUCGAGGGGGCUACCGAGCGAGGCACUGAGACACAAUGUUUGAGAGAGNNNNNNNNNNNNNNNNNNNNNNNNNNNNNNNNNNNNNNNNNNNNNNNNNNNNNNNNNNNNNNNNNNNNNNNNNNNNNNNNNNNNNNNNNNNNNNNNNNNNNNNNNNNNNNNNNNNNNNNNNNNNNNNNNNNNNNNNNNNNNNNNNNNNNNNNNNNNNNNNNNNNNNNNNNNNNNNNNNNNNNNNNNNNNNNNNNNNNNNNNNNNNNNNNNNNNNNNNNNNNNNNNNNNNNNNNNNNNNNNNNNNNNNNNNNNNNNNNNNNNNNNNNNNNNNNNNNNNNNNNNNNNNNNNNNNNNNNNNNNNNNNNNNNNNNNNNNNNNNNNNNNNNNNNNNNNNNNNNNNNNNNNNNNNNNNNNNNNNNNNNNNNNNNNAUAUAUUAUUAUCAAGAUCGAUGUGCCACCCUACUCCUUCGGUGCCGGGUAGUGUGUGUGUGUGUUUGAGAGAGAAGCCAGUCGAUAGAUUAGUAUCAAGAUCGAGGUGUCACCCUACUCCUUCGGUGUUGGGAAGUGUGGGUGUGUGUGUGGGGGGGGGCAGUGACACUCACAUAUCUCUACUCUUAUAAAAACAGAGUUGGUGAUGAUGGUGUUCCUACCAUCCUGCAAUAUAGGCCAUCCAAUUUAUAUCCGACAGACAGGAAGGAAACUAUGGCAAUUUUGCAAAAAGAUACCCACACCCCUCUCCGCAUUUGCAAAUAAGGCAUUCCCUCGUUCAUCCUUUUCUCCCACAAGAUGAACUUCUCAUACAAACACAUCUUGAUGUUCCGUGCAACACAUGGGCAUCUUGCUAGUAGGGAGAAGAAGUUUGUGUGACACAUAUCUAGCUAUAUUAAGGGAUAGGUAGAUAGCAUAUGUGUGAGAGACAUUAGUGGCUGUGGGUGGGCGAAAUUAAAGGGGUGGGCGUGUUAGACAUAGAGAGCGUGUGUGUUUCUGUGUGAGAGACUUGUAGGACGGGGUAGAAAGACGAAUUUAACCCUGACGGAGGGAGAGAAAUACAUGAAGUGCGUGUGUGUGAUUCCGAUGCCCAUAGGGAAAUGAGAUAUGUAUGCGUGUGAGAGAGAUUGCACAAUUCAUUCAUGUAUCACUAUCUAGCGAUCGUGGACAUGCAUCGCUUGAACAUAAGUCAAUAUCUACUUCGUAUCGUGGCCAAAGGUACAAUAUCGAUUCAACGAUAUAAAGAUUGGACACUCACCUAUCACAUUUUUUCUAUUUAAAUAAGCCUUUUUUGUUGUGCAUGCCAAAGUUACAGUGAUGUUUCUUCAAACAACCAAUGUAGCUAUCAUGAACAUGCACCAUUGUUACUCUUGCAUUCAAAUUCAUUAGUCUUGGAUGAUUUAAGUUUCUAUUUUGAAGUAAUAUAUGUAAUAUUCAUAUAUGAAUUCAACGGGUACGCAAUUUAUGAAAUGGAGGCUAUGUAAUCAUAUGAGGUAACACUUUUAAGUAGCUGACUACAAUAUCCAUUUCUUUUUGUGCGCCUCUACACUAACACGUCAAUGCAUUAUGUUUAAAGUAAAUAACCAAUGGCACUACAUUAUCUGUUUACACGAGAAAUACAUAGGCUGAGCAUUUGAUUCCUUUUUUUGUGAACGCGCCACUACACCCGUACGAUUGGUCGCGCCCGUGUGAAUGUCCAAGUUAUCGGUGCAUCAUCUCGAGUUAUUGUCUUUUUUCUGGGGUGGACUUCACACCCGUUCUUAACUGCUGACGCGUGUACACAGUCUAGCAUGAACUUCCCGCUAGCACGGUCCAAAAUUAGUUGAAACUGGAUAUGAACGAUCCCGCGGGCGGUAAAAUUUCCCGCCUCCUUCUAAAAUUUCUGCCACCUUAGUCUUUAGCAUGCGAAAUCCCCCUUUUGUCCUUGGUGAACGGAGACCAACAGUUACAAUACCGCCCUCAUCUACAUGAUAGGCCGGGGCUGCUUUGGUAACUUCCGGUCCCCCCACUACACGACACCCCCAUUUUCUCUCCCCCUCCCGCAAAAACGACUAACUCCACAGCACCAGAGCAUCUUACAUCACGCCGUCCGUACUUCAUCGCCCUUUCUCCCCUCCCAUCUCGAAACCCUAGACUGCUCAUCCACCGGCGUACCAUAGCCCAUUCACUGCCAGCGGCGUCCACCUCGCCAGAUCUGCUUCUGCGGCCGCAUCUACCCCUCCCACCUCCCCUAGAAACAAGUAGACUGCUCAUCCACCACUGUACCACAGCCCAUUCAGUGUUGGCCUUGUCCACGACGCCAGAUCUGCUUCGCCGGUACUCUCGUCAACCACCGCGCAUCUGCAGUGGCUCAUUCGUACUUCCCACCGGAGACGCUUCGUCCACACCCCCCGGAGCCGCCCCACCGACGCCCCCGUCGACGGCCUCUGAUCCUCUUCGCCGACACCUUCCUCAACCCUACCGGAGCCGCUUCGCCGACACCUUCCUCAACCCUACCUGUGUAGCUUCGCCUAUACCAUUCUUAAUCCUACUGGGGCCGCUUUGCCAACUCACAAGUCCAUGGCCUCAGAUCCGCUUCCUCGCACCCUCAUCCAACCUACCAGAGCAGUUUCUAACGCCCCAUCCACGGCCACAGAUCCGCAUCGUCGACACCACCCUUAACCCAACCACCGGAGCAGCUUCUGACGCCCCGUCCACGACCGCAGAUCCGCAUCGUCGACACCAUCCUUAACCCAACCACCGGAGCAGCUUCACCUACACCCUCGUCCACGGCCAUAGAUCCGCUUCGCCCACACCGUAGUCCACCCUACCGGAGCCGCUCCACAAACACCCUACUCGACGGUUCUAGAUCUCCUUACCGGAGCCCGACAGCCAGCGCAGCGUCAUCACCCUCAAUGUUUCUAACCUGAUUCCCACAGUCUGGAGAGAUGUAAAGCACCCGCCACGGCCUAGGUACUUGUCACCUUUAAACCCGUCCAGCAUCACCUGCCCGAUGUACUUCAAAUAUACUAACCGGUCGCUGUUACCUGUUAUGUAGCUGGCAAAAACUACAAGGACGAUGUUUCUUCUGGAUCUAACAGCUUGGCCAACCAAGAUCCUGGACUGAGGCAUUGCUAUGAUCUUGUAAGCGCGUCUCUCUCUCUUGUACUGUUCUGUGCCUGCCAGCGUGCUUUGCUAGGAUUUUUGACCAGUAAUCCCUUUGUGCAGACAAUGAUUUCUACUACUGGCUGCAAAUUAGAUAUGUAGAUGUCAUACAUGAUACUACCUCAUACCUCCGUUCCUAAAUAUAAGUCUUUCUAGAGAUUCCACUAUAGGCUACAUACAGAGCAAAAUGAGUGAAUUUACACUCGAAAAUGCAUCUAUAUACAUCUGUAUGUGGUCCAUACUGGAAUUUCUACAAAUACAUAUAUUUAGGAACAGGGGCAGUACAUUACACAAAAUCGUAGGUGGCAUGUAGGAAUUCCAGUGAACUACAUUAGGCUCCCUUAGAGUGCCUGCUAGUCCAGCAUACAAAGUCAUGGCUAGUUUAUGGUACGCACACAAUCGUUAAUUGGUGGUUUAAAUAUGCGCAAGGGAUAUGCAAUGUAGUAUCAUGUAGAGAUGUCUAAAAUUAGCCGUGUCAACUUGCAGAUAGGGUUACACAAUGAAAAAGUACAAGAUGUAUGUGGCAAUUUCAUGGAACAUCGCAAAAAAAGGAGAGGCAGCGGUGAGCCUAUAAAGUGUGCCAUGGUACAUCACUCCUCCAUUGCAAUCAUUGUGACAUAUUAUUUGUAUGCCAGUUCUAUUAGCCAAGUUUCUUAGGGACAGUUAUUACGAGUUAUCCUAAGAAAAUAAGCACCUGUGAAUAUAAGCUCCAUGUAAUAAGCCAACCAGUUCUUUUCAUUGUGUUUUCAGCUUAUCUUUGGUAUGAUCAGUGGAAAGUCUAGAUUGCAGUAUAUUUUUUCAUUUUGCUGCCCAUAUGGAAAUUAAUUUGACUUGCAAACAUCACAAAUUGAACCCAGUGCAGUAUAAUAUGAUAGGACAAUAGACCAUCACUAUUUGCUCAAAAUGCAAAUACAAAGAUACCAUCUACUUGGCACAAUCUACUUUGGUCAAUGUUUUCCAUAGAGAUCCCAUUGCCUAAUUUAAAUGAAGAACGCAUGACCCACAUUUAAAUGAAGAACAAUUAUUUAUUGAAAUUCGAUGGUCCAAGUGGCUGGUUAUUAUCGUAUAGCAGCACCACCUGAAAGCAUCAUAUAGCAGCAGCAACAGCUCAUAGCAACUCAUCAUACAACAACAGCAGUCUGCAAUUCAUCAUAUACCAGCAGCAGCUCAUAGCAAUUCAUCAUAUAGCAGCAGCGGAAGCAGCUCAUAGCAAUUCAUCAUAUAGCAGCAGCAGGAGCAGCUCAUAGCAAUUCAUCAUAUAGCAGCAGCAGGAGCAGCUUAUAGCAACUCAUCAUAUAGCAGCAGCAGGAGCAGCUUGUAGCAACUCAUCAUAUAGCAACAACAGCUCAUAGCAAUUCAUCGUAUAGUAGCAGCAGCUCAUAGCAACUCAUCAUACAGAAGCAACAGCUCAUAGCAAUUCAUCAUAUAGCAGCAGCAGGAGCAGCUCAUAGCAAUUCAUCAUAUAGCAGCAGCAGGAGCAGCUCAUAGCAAUGCAUCAUAUAGCAGCAGCAGAAGCAUCUCAUAGCAAUUCAUCGUAUAGUGGAAAGGGGAGAGGAGAUGCAAGCGGGCAGGGCAAUGAAUGCUUGCGUGUUUGUUUUUACUUGAGGGUCAGGUGUGACACGGGCGUCAGUAGUUGCAUUUUGAGUGUAAUAUAGGCAGACAACAGAGUCAUUUCACUAUUCCCCUUCCCUUCAAUUUUUAGUGAGGUUCUACCCGAAACACCCUCCUCCAAAGCAAAAUUAGUUAAGCCCAAGCCAUAACUCAAAAAUGACUUCUUUACAUCUUUUAUGGCUUAUUUUGACAAUAUGCCCUGAAAAGGCGGAAUCGAACUGGCCCUUAACCUGCAAUUCAAUUGUGCGUGCAAUGAUGAAUCACUCCUGCCUGCUAUCUAUACAUUUAGGCAUCAUCAUACAUGGCAUAACCUAAUACAUGUGCAUCCCAUUGUAGAAUUUGGAAUAUGCAAUGUUUAUGUUAGUUCAUAUGUUGCACAUGAUGUUUAAAUGCCCCUUAAAUCUGGUCAGUCAAGUGAUGGUCUUUAAGCCACCUUCUUUGCUUCUUUUCUUGAUAUGUAAGAUUUGCUCACACAUCUAUUCAAUUUCUUGUUUGCAUCAGCCAGCCAUACUAGGACUGUUUGCUUUGAUUACUUGCUGUUCUUGACAUAACACUUUAACAGAGCUUGUCAACAAUUUAAACACUAAGGGCUGCUGUAGUGGGGCCUUGUCUAACUCAUAGGUGACAUAAAGGUUUGGUUGUACACUACAGUAGGCUCUCCAAGAGUACCUGGAGAUCCAGUUCGAAGGUAUGCCUAGUUUUUACAUAGUGCAGACAUAGUAAAUGCUCAUUUCAUUGUGUGCAAGUGCAAGAGAUGCGGCAUGUUUCAUUAUGUGGUGUUGUUUUGUUAUAAUCUCAUUCUUUUGUGUUCACAGACUGGAAAGUAUGCAUAUUUAUCUUCCAAGGAGACGAGUAACUAGUUUGUGUCACCUUGCAGAUGGGGUGCAAUGAAGAUAAGAUUGAGGAUUUCCAAGUACAAGAUGUUAGGAAGGAGCCUUGCAAGAGAAGUAGGAGUUGUGCUGAGCCUCUUCAACCUGCUAAGGUAAGUCACUAUAUGCAACUCAACAGUUCAAUUCCUUGUUUGUUUCAGGCAUAGUUAAUUUUCUCUUUUCAAUUGCUUUAUUUGCCCAUAGUUAAUGAGAUGCCCAAAUAAUCAUGCCUGAUGUUCGGUACUGGUAUCACUAUUAGUUGACAUAAUUAAAGGCCUUACCAUUUAAUUACUCUGCCAAAGUGUGCCUAAAGCUUUGGAGUCUAUUAACCAACUAUUAUUGCAUGAGGCUCACAAUCUAGUUUAUACUACGCUAAUGAUUGCAUAGUUUUGCCUGCUGUAGUAUGUUUGUAUGAAACCCUCUGCUGUUUAUUAUGCUCCCUAAGACUUUAAUUGAGGCACAGAAUGACCAACUACUUGCUUACUUAUACGCAACGUGUUGUCUAAAUUUGUAACUUGUUUGUGUUUUCGAUUGGGCCCCAACAUCAUGCUCCUCUCAUGAGCUAAGAGGGAUUUCUGUAUGCAGGCUGCAUAGACUAUCUUUUUAUAAUUUUUAAAAUAUCACCUGCUUAUGCUUCAUGACGUGUAACAUUUUUUUGAAAGUGACAUGUAACAUUAUUGUUAGUCCUGUUUUGCCAUGUAGUACAAAACAGUGUCUUGUUCGCUUCACUGUUGUAACUAUAUUUUUGCCCUAGUCAUGUGUACUUACAGAAACAUUUCAGGAUGAAGUGACAUCAACACAAAGAUCUGCGAGCAGUGCGGCAUGGCCGUUACCGAAUGAUUAUGGAUUGGAAUUGGAAUGUGCUGAUGUUCUCGAGAAUCAACUAGAGGUGGCAAGACAACGUGUACAUGAUUGUCAACGUAUAAUCAACAAGUUGAGACUGGACAUGCAGGUAUUAGAUGCAGGAGUCAAAAAAUGAAACAAGACACUGAGGUAACCAUGAAGGAAUUGGAGAUUUUGCAGACUGAAAUUUGUGCUAUCUGAAUCCGGCCAAUCCUAUUUUCUGAAGAGAUUAUAGUUCAAAUGGAGUUAAGUUGAUGCGCGUCCAUGAUGUAUGAGCUGUAUUUGCCCAGUGUAUGUAAUUUGCUGUUUGUGUAUGCUUUAUUAUCACCUGUGCCGAACCAUAAUGCCCAGUGGGUAUAAUCGGCUGUAAUUUCUUUAUUAUAUAGUGUAGGAUUAUUCUACCUUUCUAUGCCUUGAUCUCUUUGUUGUAAUAGUGUAGGUGUUGGGGAACGUAGCAGAAAUUCAAAAUUUUCCUACGUGUCACCAAGAUCUAUCUAUGGAGAGACCAGCAACGAGUAGAAAGAAGAGAAGAGUGCAUCUACAUACCCUUGUAGAUCGCUAAGCGGAAGCGUUCAAGUGAACGGGGUUGAUGGAGUCGUACUCGUCGUGAUUCAGAUCACCGAUGAUCAAGUGCCGAACGCACGGCACCUCCGCGUUCAACACACGUACAGCCCGGUGACGUCUCCCACGCCUUGAUCCAGCAAGGAGAGAGGGAGAGGUUGAGGAAGACUCCAUCCAGCAGCAGCACAACGGCGUGGUGGUGGUGGAGGAGUGUGGCAAUCCCGCAGGGCUUCGCCAAGCACCAUGGGAGAAGAGGAGGAGGGAGAGGGGCAGGGCUGCACCAACGAGAGAUCAAAUCGCGUGUUAUGGGCAGCCCUAUGCCUCACUAUUUAUAGGGGGAGAGGGGGCUGCGCCCCCCUCUAGGGUUUCCCACCCCCAAGGGGUGCGGCCAGCCCUAGAUGGCAAAGGGGGCGGCGGCCAGGAGGGGGAGAGAGGGGAGGCGCCCACUAGGUGGGCCUUAAGGCCCAUCUGGACUAGGGUUUGCCCCCUCCCACUCUCCCUUGCGCCUUGGCCCCUUGUGGGGGGCGCACCAGCCCACCUAGGGGCUGGUCCCCUCCCACACAUGGCCCACGCAGACUUCUGGGGCAGGUGGCCCCACUUGGUGGACCCCCGGGACCCUCCCGGUGGUCCCGGUACAAUACCGAUAUCGCCCGAAACUUUUCCGGUGACCAAAACAGGACUUCCCAUAUAUAAAUCUUUACCUCCGGACCAUUCCGGAACUCCUCGUGACGUCCGGGAUCUCAUCCGGGACUCCGAACAACAUUCGGUAACCACAUACAAGCUUCCUUUAUAACCCUAGCGUCAUCGAACCUUAAGUGUGUAGACCCUACGGGUUCGGGAGACAUGUAGACAUGACCGUGACGUUCUCCGGUCAAUAACCAACAGCGGGAUCUGGAUACCCAUGUUGGCUCCCACAUGUUCCACGAUGAUCUCAUCGGAUGAACCACGAUGUCAAGGACUCAAUCGAUCCCGUAUACAAUUCCCUUUGUCUAUCGGUAUGUUACUUGCCCGAGAUUCGAUCGUCGGUAUCCAAUACCUUGUUCAAUCUCGUUACCGGCAAGUCACUUUACUCGUUCCGUAACACAUCAUCCCGUGAUGAACUCCUUGGUCACAUUGCGCAUAUGAUGAUGUCCUACCGAGUGGGCCCAGAGAUACCUCUCCGUUUACACGGAGUGACAAAUCCCAGUCUCGAUUCGUGCCAACCCAACAGACACUUUCGGAGAUACCUGUAAUGCACCUUUAUAGCCACCCAGUUACGUUGUGACGUUUGGUACACCCAAAGCACUCCUACGGUAUCCGGGAGUUGCACAAUCUCAUGGUCUAAGGAAAAGAUACUUGACAUUAGCAAAGCUCUAGCAAAUGAACUACACGAUCUUUUGUGCUAGUCUUAGGAUUGGGUCUUGUCCAUCACAUCAUUCUCCUAAUGAUGUGAUCCCGUUAUCAACGACAUCCAAUGUCCAUAGCCAGGAAACCAUGACUAUCUGUUGAUCACAACGAGCUAGUCAACUAGAGGCUCACUAGGGACAUAUUGUGGUCUAUGUAUUCACACGUGUAUUACGAUUUCCGGAUAAUACAGUUAUAGCAUGAAUAAAAGACAAUUAUCAUGAACAAGGAAAUAUAAUAAUAAUACUUUUAUUAUUGCCUCUAGGGCAUGUUUCCAACAGUCUCCCACUUGCACUAGAGUCAAUAAUCCAGUUCACAUCGCCAUGUGAUUAACAUUCACAGGUCACAUCGCCAUGUGACUAAUACCCAAGAGUUUACUAGAGUCAGUAGUCUAGUUCACAUCACUAUGUGAUUAACACUCAAUGAGUUUUAUGUUUGAUCAUGUUGCUUGUGAGAGAGGUUUUAGUCAACAGGUCUGAACCUUUAAGAUCCGUGUGUGCUUUACAAAUCUCUAUGUCAUCUCCUAGAUGCAGCUACCACGCUCUAUUUGGAGCUAUUCCAAACAACUGUUCUACUUGGAGCUAUUCUAAAUUAUUGCUCCAUUAUAUGUAUCCGGUCUCUCUACUCAGAGCUAUCCGGAUAGGUGUCAAGCUUGCAUCGUCGUAACCUUUACGACGAACUCUUUUACCACCUCCAUAAUCGAGAAAAUUUCUUAGUCCACUAGUUACUAAGGAUAACUUUGACCGCUGUCCUGUGAGCCAUUCUUGGAUCACUCUUGUACCCCUUGACUGACUCAUGGCAAGGCACACUUCAGGUGCGGUACACAGCAUAGCAUACUGAAGAGCCUACGUCUUAAGCAUAGGGAACGACCUUCGUCCUUUCUCUCUUUUCUGCCGUGGUCGAGCUUUAAGUCUUAACUUCGUACCUUACAACUCAGGCAAGAACUCCUUCUUUGACUGGUCCAUCUUGAACACCUUCAAGAUCAUGUCAAGGUAUGUGCUCAUUUGAAAGUAUUAUUAAGCAUUUUGAUCUAUCCUUAUAGAUCUUGAUGCUCAAUGUUCAAGUAGCUUAAUCCAGGUUUUCUAUUGAAAAACACCUUUCAAAUAACCCUAUAUGCUUUCUAGAAAUUCUACAUCAUCUCUGAUCAUCAAUAUGUCAACAACAUAUACUCAUCAGAAAUUCUAUAGUGCUCUCACUCACUUCUUUGGAAAUACAAGUUUCUCAUAAACUUUGUACAAACCCAAAAUUUUUGAUCAUCAUCAAAGCAUUCAUUCCAACUCCGAGAUGCUCACUCCAGUCCUUAGAAGGAUUGCUGGAGCUUUGCAUACUUAUUAGCAUCUUUCGGGAUUGACAAAACCUUCCGGUUGUAUCACAUACAACCUUUCCUCAUUAAAAUCGUCGAGGAAACAAUGUUUUGACAUCCUAUCUGCAAGAUUUCAUAAAUAAUGCAGUAAUCGCUAAUAUAAUUCCAACAGACUCUUAGCAUCGCUACGAGUGAGAAAAUCUCAUCGUAGUCAACUCCUUGAACUUGUCGGAAAACAUCUUAACGACAAGUCGAGCUUUCUUAAUGGUGACAUUUACCAUCAUUGUCCGUCUUCCUUUUGAAAUCCAUCUGUACUCAUUUGCCUUACGACCAUCGAGCCGUUCUGCCAAAGUCUACACUUUGUUUUCAUACAUGGAUCCUCUCUCGGAUUUUAUGGCCUCAAGCCAUUUAUCGGAAUCCGGGCCCACCAUCGCUUCUCCAUAGCUCGUAGGUUCAUUGUUGUCUAGCAACAUGACCUUCAAGACAGGAUUACGUACCACUCUGAAGUAGUACGCAUCCUUGUCAUCCUACGAGGUUUGGGAGUGACUUGAUCCGAAGUUUCAUGAUCAAUAUCAUAAUCUUCCACUUCAAUUGGUGUAGGUGCCACAUGAACAACUCCCUGUGCCCUGUCACACACUAGUUGAAGAGACGGUUCAAUAACCUCAUCAAGUCUCCACCAUCCUCCCACUCAAUUCUUUCGAGAGAAACUUUUCCUCGAGAAAGGACCCGAUUCUAGAAACAAUCCAUAUUGCUUUCGGAUCUGAAUUAGGAGGUAUACCCAACUGUUUUGGGUUUCCUAUGAAGAUGCAUUUUAUCCGCUUUGGGUUCGAGCUUAUCAACCUGAAACUUUUUCAUAUAAGCGUCGCAGCCCCAAACUUUUAAGAAACGACAACUUAGGUUUCUCUAAACCAUAAUUCAUACGGUGUCAUCUCAUCGGAAUUACGUGGUGCCCUAUUUAAAGUGAAUGUGGUUGUCUCUAAUGCCUAACCCAUGAACGAUAGUGGUAAUUCGAUAAGAGACAUCAUGGUACGCACCAUAUCCAAUAGGGUGCAACUAUGAUGUUCGGACACACCAUCACACUAUGGUGUUCCAGGCGGUAUUAAUUGCGAAACAAUUUCCACAAUGUCUUAAUUGUGUGCCAAAACUCGUGACUCAGAUAUUCAUCUCUAUGAUCAUAUCAUAGAUAUUUUUAUCCUCUUAUCACGACGAUCUUCCAACUUCACACUGAAAUUACUUGAACCUUUCAAUAAUUCAGACUCGUUAUUCAUCAAGUAAAUGUACUCAACAUCUACUCAAAUCAUCUGUGAAGUAAGAUCAUAAUGAUAUUCACUGCAUGCCUCAGCACUCAUUGGACUGCACACAUCAAAAUGUGUUGCUUCCAACAAGUUGCUAUCUUGUUCCAUUUUGCUGAAACCGAGGCUUUUCAGUCAUCUUGCCCAUGUGGUAUGAUUUGCAUAUCUCAAGUGAUUCAAAAUCAAGUGAGUCCGAACGAUCCAUUUGCAUGGAGUUUCUUCAUGCAUAUACACCAAUAGACAUGGUUCGCAUGUCUCAAACUUUUCAAAAAUGAGUGAGUCCAAAGAUCCAUCAACAUGGAGCUUCUUCAUGCAUUUUAUACCAUUAUGACUUACAUAGCAGUGCCACAAGUAAGUGGUACUAUCAUUACUAUCUUAUAUCUUUUGGCAUGAAAAUGUGUAUCACUACGAUCGAGAUUCAAUAAACCAUUCAGGUUUAAUACUAAUCUUGAUGGUAGAGGGAGCGUGCGAUGUUUGAUCACAUCAAACUUGGAAACACUUCCAACACAUAUCGUCAGCUCACCUUUAGCUAGUCUCCGUUUAUGCCGUAGCUUUUAUUUCGAGUUACUAACACUUAGCAACCGAACCGGUAUCUAAUACCCUGGUGCUACUAGGAGUACUAGUAAAGUACACAUUAACAUAAUGUAUAUCGACCUUGCCAGCCUUCUCAUCUACCAAGUAUCUAGGGUAAUCUUGCUCCAGUGGUUGUUCCCCUUAUUACAGAAGCACUCAGUCUCGGGUUUGGGUUCAACCUCGGGUUUCUUCAUUGGUGCAGCAGCUGAUUUGCCGUUUCAUGAAGUAUCCCUUCUUUCCCUUGCCCUUCUUGAAACUAGUGGUUUCAUCAACCAUCAACAAUUGAUGCUCCUUCUUGAUUUCUACUUUCACGAUGUCAAACAACGCGAAUACCUCAAGGAUCAUCAUAUCUAUCCCUGAUAUGUUAUAGUUCAUCAUGAAGCUCUAGCAGCUUGGUGGUAAUGACUUCGGAGAAACUAUCACUAUUUCAUCUGGAAGAUCAACUCCCACUUGAUUCAAGUGAUUGUUGUACUCAGACAAUCUGAGCACAAGCUCAACGAUUGAGCUUUUCUCCCUUAGUUUGUAGGCUAAGAAAAUUGUCGGAGGUCUCAUACCUCUUGACGUGGGCACGAGCCUGAAAUCCCAAUUUCAGCCCUCGAAACAUCUCAUAUGUUCCGCGACGUUUCGAAAACGUCUUUGGUGCCUCUACUUAAACCAUUUAACUGAACUAUCACAUAGUUAUCAAAACGUGUAUGUCCGAUGUUCGCAACAUCGACAAACGACGUUGGGGUUCAGCACACUGAGCGGUGCAUUAAGGACAUAAGCUUUCUACUGAUCGCAUAAUCGCUACUAUCAACUUUCAACUAUAAUUUUCUCUAGGAACAUAUCUAAACAGUAGAACUAUAGCGUGAGCUACGACAUAAUUUGCAAAAGGUCUUUUGACUAUGUUCAGGAUAAUUAAGUUCAUCUUAUGAACUCCCACUCAGAUAGACAUCCCUCUAGUCAUCUAAGUGAUCACAUGAUCCGAGUCAACUAGGCCGUGUCCGAUCAUCACGUGAGACGGACUAGUUAACGUCGGUGAACAUCUUCAUGUUGAUCGUAUCUGCUAUACGACUCAUGCUCGACCUUUCGGUCUCUGUGUUCCGAGGCCAUGUCUGCACAUGCUAGGCUCGUCAAGUUAACCCUAAGUGUUUUCGCUGUGUAAAACUGUCUUACACCCGUUGUAUGUGAACGUAAGAAUCCAUCACACCCGAUCAUCACGUGGUGCUUAGAAGCGACGAACUGUAGCAACGGUGCACAGUUAGGGGAGAACACUUCUUGAAAUUUUGUAAGGGAUCAUCUUAUUUACUACCGUCGUCCUAAGUAAACAAGAUGCAUAAACAUGAUAAACAUCACAUGCAAUCAAAUAGAGUAGUGACAUGAUAUGGCCAAUAUCAUACAGCUCCUUUGAUCUUCAUCUUUGGGGCUCCAUGAUCAUCUUGUCACCGGCUUGACACCAUGAUCCCCAUCAUCAUGAUCUCCAUCAUCGUGUCUUCAUGAAGUUGUCACGCCAACGACUACUUCUACUUCUAUGACUAACGCGUUUAGCAAUAAAGUAAAGUAGUUUACAUGGCGUUCUUCAAUGACACGCAGGUCAUACAAAAAAUAAA
This 75143-nucleotide long non-coding RNA is filed under the name Triticum aestivum (bread wheat). Its description in RNAcentral is "long non-coding RNA (TAES_LNC025373)". The stretch from base 3822 to 3893 matches the Rfam family "tRNA". The record is from RNAcentral. Lineage: Eukaryota; Viridiplantae; Streptophyta; Magnoliopsida; Poales; Poaceae.